This is a non-coding RNA of Pelobates cultripes (western spadefoot toad), 47457 nucleotides long. NCBI's taxonomy places the organism in Eukaryota, Metazoa, Chordata, Amphibia, Anura, Pelobatidae. The record is from the annotation of a GenBank genome assembly.
AGAGGCUUCACACUUCGCGGACAGAAAGGCCAAGAAAUCAUACCUACAGGCCGUCAGGUAUUUAUGGCUUUUUAGGAGGUAUUUGCAUACUUGGUGGGAAUAACAGUCCCUGGAUGAUGGGAAUUGCAAUCACUCCCGAUGGAUUUUCCUAGCAUUGUAUCUAUCAUUGGUUUCAUAGUUGCUUGCUUAAUAUAUCUGUUCUGCCGAAUUGACCUCUAGACCCCCUCUUUAUUUAAUUACACUGAUCGAAAAAAAUAAAACCUGCAGUUAUUCACCGUUUAUUAAAUAAUGGGAAAAAAGUGGCAAAACAGUACAAUAAAGUAAUUCAGAUCCAAAGGACAGUUCAAAAUGAGGUGACAAUUUGACAAAGUAAAAUUUAGAACGCAGAGAAUGCUGAAAUGUGUGCUGACGGAUGAACUAGGGCCACGUAAUUGGGGACAUUAAGGCUCACUUGCACUGUGACACAGCUGUUACAUUAGGUUGUACUGGGUUACAAUGUUUUAUCUUUGUUUAUUCUAGAAACUAGUGUGAGAGAGAUCUGUGCCAGAGAGACACAGAUUAACCUGUCCUUUAUAAAACACAGAGUAUUAAUGGGGAGACUAAAUCUCCCUUCAUCUCCCAUUCUGGAUAGGACCCCUCAGCAGUGCUGGGCCCCUGCGCACGGUGAUAUUUCCAGCGCUGGCUUGAACUCACCUCUGUUCUAACACGUUGGAAACCUCAGACUAAUACUUCAAUCAAAAAAAAAAAAAUGCUUUGCUUACAUUUUCUGUGGAAUUGGGUCAGAGAGUUAAAUUUCAAAGACGUUUUGCUGUGUAGCAACUUUUGCAAAGACAUCUUUCUAAAAGAGAAAUGUCUGCCGAGCCUGUACAUUCAGCACAGGCAGCAAUCAUUAAGGCAAAUACAAAAAAACAAGUCCUGCACUCAAACUCCCAUCACUCCUGGAUGCCCUAAUACAUACAGUACAGUAAAACAUACAUACAUACAUACAUACGGUAAAAACCAAAGAAAAAAGUUACCUGCGUUUUCUCCCAAUUCCCUAUGUAUAUUUAAACAAAUUAAGGUUAUUUAGUUACUCCAAUGUCCAUGAGAGGAUAUGCCCACCUGCCACGUCAAGGCAGACCUCUCAGGUGGGUCCUAACUCUAACCAUUCACCUUGCUUCCUUGAGCUUCUGGCAAAGAUAUCUCUAAUGAGACAGAAAGGGGUAUUUUUUAUAUACACUCCUAUAUACUUAUUAACCCUUAAUAGGGAACACAUGGGAUGGACGGCAGCCGUGUGAUACAAAAGUGAAUACAAAUAGAAAGAAACUAGUUCUGUGCUCAAACUCCCAUCACUCCUGGGUGACAGCAAUGACCAUAGUACACAUCAGCCAAAAUACAUACAGUAAACACCCAAAAAAAAAAAAUUAAAACCAUUAACAGAAUAAAGAAAUUGUCUGGAUUUUUGGGCCGCAAUGGACUAUUUAUUGCAGUCCACAGGUUCCUACCUGGUGUAGAAUGUUUUUUUGAUCAAUGCAUUGAGCUAGAUAGACAGAAAAUCUCAAAGCUAGGAUUUAUUUGAAUUGUAUAUUAACAUACUGUGAAUAAGUCUACCGGGCAGCUAAACUGCAGGGGCCUUAUUUAUAAUUUAUUUUAACUUAUUGCUAGUAAUUCUCAAUUACAGUCGUACAAAAGAUACAGAGAUGUAUUUCUAUGUCCUAUUAAUGUACAGGUCUGCAACCAUUCUCAGGAUAGGGGGAUUAUCGAGGGUAUUUCAGGCUGGGAGACAUACUUGGGGUACAGACACUUUGUUUGCAGUGCCUCAUGGGAAGGGUACCAUACCUAAAGCUACCCCAUGUCACCAUACUUUGAUAUGCUUUAGCAAAGUAUGACUUAAAAAUACAUUGAAAACAAAUAUUUUGCGGGCUAAAUAUUGAUCCUGGUGCUGCUGCUUUAAAUAAAUCAAAUUUUGCUCACAAGACCCGUGAACGCUCUCCAGGCUGUAGUCUUUUUGCCGUAGUUUAGUUACAGACAGUUACUGCUGGUUAUCUAUGCAAUAUGUUACUCAUGAUGUACAUAGCUCCCAUUAGAAUGGAGAAACACUCAGAAACACUCAUAUUUGUGUUCAGCGAUAUCUCACACGUUCAACAGUACCCCCACAUGUACAGGUUUUAUGGGGUUUAGAAAAGAGGGUAAGUAUUUGGGCUGGAUGGAGGGCUAUAUUGUUAGGGCUUACUAUGCCUCCCUUAUGUCAGGAAAGGGUUAAUAAAUAAAACAGUUACGUUCAGGUGCAAUAAUCCAUAGAUUAAGCUUUUUGGAUUGUACCACCUGUUUAAAGUCGGGAUUUCCUUAACCUGUUAAUUUGGAGAGAUUGAAUUGCCUGCUGCUUGCUUAGUGACUCAAUCAUGCACCUGUGCCCUAUAUGUCUUUCAGCUACAUAAUUAUGUUUGGAAACCGGUCUGUAUAAAUAAGAUACCCCGUUCUUGUUCUAAUUUAUAUUUUAGUUGUUUAAAUUUUUAUUAUUAAGUCACCUAAAAUUUCACCCCACCCCACCCCCCAUUUAUGCCGCUAAAAUUAAAGUGUCCCUCUGCCUAUUUGGAAUGCUGAGAGGUAUGUUAAUAGGCUCCACCCCUGCAGAGUAACAAUAUGAGUUAAUGGUUGCGCCUUUCUGAUUGGGCUGCACCCCAUUUCAACCCCUUCUGUCCUUGUUGGGGUAAGGUAACCCCACCUCAGGAGAGCAGAUGUGCGCCCGACAGAAUACAGAUGUCUUUUUUCCUCUGGAAUGUGAUCAAAUUGUAUUGAAUGCGAUAUUUCUAUAUCUCUGUGCUCCCUCAUCAUAUUGGUUACAAGACGUAACGCUUCCCCAAAGGGGCCGGGCGAAUACACCACUCCCUGAUCCUUCCCUGCGCAUCACUCUGUGUAAAUAUAUAUAUUUAAAACCAAUUUAUUUUUUACUGGAAAAGAAAACGAGCUAUUUCAGCAUCUCCCCUAGUCUCUGUGUGGCUUUGCAGGCCCAUGAUUCUCCUCCCAUUACAGGAGCACGUGUUUACUUAGUGAAGUGCCUCUCUUAGAACCUUAAUCCCAUUUCCACUGGCAUCUUUCAUAAACAGAGAGAGGACAGAGGGAAUACAUUAAAAAUUACACUUUUCACAAGGGGCAGGGCUAGAUUAACCCCUUGGGUUCCAGCAGGGUUGAGCAACACAUGCCGAAGUGGUGUGUUGCUAACAUUCCAGCCACACGGGGUUAAAAGCACCUUUUUCUCGCGGUUUUGAUGUGUUUUUUUCUACACAGGUUGAGGUUGCAUAUUUUCUUUGACUCUUGAGAGGACACACAACCUUUCUAUUAUAUCUUAUUAAACGGCUGACAGCCUGCAUAUCUUUAAUGAACACUGAGUCUACACACAGACAAGAGGAGGUAUGUCUCAAUUUCCAGCAGGCCUUUCCUUUCAGCCAAAGUGUGUCCCAAGCCACUGAGUGAUCACUUCAACCCUUUCUAGUCUGUGUUUAAAAGGAAUUUCACAGCCUUGAUAUAUAGAGUGAUUAAAAGACUGCAGGAAUACACAACCCUCAGCAAAAAAAAAAGUCUUAAAGAGCUUUCAUUAGGCUUUAUGUAGGGGAGAGAAACUUUUUUCAUAUAUUUUUGUUUCUGCCAGAAUAUAAUAUAUCUCUAUCAUAUGAUGUGCCCGUUAAUUAAACAGGCAGACGAUGCAGACCUGCAUUGCACUGUGGGUGCCGUCACACUGUGCGUUAAAAAUUGUAACAACACUGUGUCAAUAAAACCCUAAGAAAGUUGUGUAAAAUAACAGUGAAUUGUGUACUAUAGUAAAAUACUGUUAUUGAGUGGUACUGGAGAUACCACAGACAACGAGAUGGCGAUAUUUUCCUUUAACACCUCCAGAUUUGUUCACAUAUAUCUUGUUUGCCAUUCUUUAUUUUUGGAGUGCAGUGAUAAAUACAUGCUUUAGUAAUGACAUAUGACAUUAUUUUAUUAUGUAUAUAGCGCCAGCAAACUCCGUAGUGCUGUACAAUUGGUGGACUAAGAGACACGUAAUUAUAACCAGACAAAUGGACGCACAGAAACAGGGGGGGGGUUUGAGGGUCCUGCUCAAUGAGCUUACAUGCUAGAGGGAGUGGGGUAAAAUGACACAAAGGGUAUAAGUAGGGGUAAUGAAAUAGGUUGCUAGAAAGUAAUCACUGAGAACUUAGUAGGUUAUUUUUGAGUUACAGGAGAGGUGGGGUGGAGGGGGGGUGAUGAAAAUCCGCUAACAGUUUAGAUUAUAUGCCAUCCUGAAGAAGUGUGUUUUUAAAGAUUUUUUUGAGGGAGUGGAGACUGGGUGAAAGUCUAACGGACAUGAGGUAUAGUAACAAUAUGUUAGCACGAGAGGUUAAGGUAUGCUGCACACCACACUGGCUAGAUGGUGUAUAGCAGAGGGAUUGACGAGACUAGACAGAAACCAAAGGAGAGACAUGAAAGUAUUGCAAUAAAGAUGCACUCAUGAAGGUAAAACAAGAACCUUCUCCAUCCUAGUUUUGGUAAGAAAGGGAGCAGCCAAGGGCUUUUUUUUACAUAGCUCAGUCCCAGAGCCCUAUUCAUGUCCUCCAAGGGAGAGUAAAGUCCCGUGGUAGAAGGGCACACUGCAGGGCAUGGAGAGCUGGUGGGUCAAAUUUCUUGACAUACAAGGGAUUCCCCACCACACCUCUGAAUUCCUUUGCGAACCUUCUUUGGUCCUCAUCGAUGGAUGCCUCUGUGCCGCCUUGUGGUUAGGCGAAGUUUGUAGAGUGCACCGCUGUCAUGGUGGGGCCUUCACUGCUGGUAAAGCCCAGGGUUCAGGAUGGGAACUCUAAAGUGUGUAAUAACCUAUUUGUAGCGGGGCAGGUCGGGGUUUCCUGCUGUCUAGCUGCUGCCAGAAGUUGGUGCACAGUCUGUCAAGCUUGGAGAAGAUGUCCCCAUGAUCAUCACUGGGGUGAGGAAACCAAAUGGUCUCCACCAUUUUGGAUUCACAGUGCGGUCCAUUUGCUCUCACAGCUUCACCCCAUGCUUCUGCCUGAGAUGGGUAGCCUCCCAGGAGUGGACCGGGAUCACCCCUACUGGUCCAAGUGUGGGAGAAAGGAGCACUGGCGUAAAACUUAUAGCCUCCAGACAUCUCUGGUCCAGGAGAUCGGCCUACUUUCCCGCCCAGUGCGUACUAGGCCUCAGUUACCACGGUGGAGCUGAUAAACUCUUGAUGAGUCGCUGACUGCUUUCCAGUGUAGCUGGUAAGUCAGGAAUAAAAGCCUUUGCUUGUUUUGUCCCAAAACGAGGUUUAGGCAGCUGUAUGGGGUGUUUUAUAUCAGGAUAGGGGAGGAGCUCAUCCAAGACGCGUCUUUCCUCCAUGGCAGUCAGGCCUGCCUCUGACAUAUCUUUCAGAUAUAUUUAUUGAAAGUUGUUCCACAGCUGGUGAAGAUUGAUUGAUUGGGGUUUGUUUUGCGAUUCUGGCUGCUGUGGAAUGCAUCACACAGACACGCAUACUCGCGGACUCGUUCAUACUCAGAGUUGCUUCAUUCUUAGUGCAGGAAAAGGAGAUCCCAUCCAGUCAGAGAUUGAUGAGACUCAACAUUGAGCAGCAGCCACAAUCCACGGCUAUCAUAAUGUGCUCAGUCCCUCUCCCCUUGGUGACAUGCUGGGAGAGGUGCUCUCUCCCCAACCCUGCACCCGGCAUUGCGUAGUGGGAGAAAGACCGAAUAAAUGCAGUGAGCCUCUGCAUAGUUUCCAUUUCUCCACCUUUUUAUUAUCAGCGAGGAUUUUUUUAUUAACGUUUCAUUGUGCACCUACCAUCCACAAAGCGUGUAGGUAAGUGCUCACAUUAGUGUGUUACCAAGUAAUGUAGCGUGCUUUAAACUGGUAAAGAUUCUGAAAUAAAUAACAUAAACAAAUAUAGUGCAGACUGUCUGAAUCUGUACAUGAAAUAUAAUAGGGGGAGUGGGAGAGAACUCACAUGUACCAGAGCCCUAUCGCCCCUUGCUCUGGGUUUGAAAUUCCCCACUUGAGAGGGAAGCUGCCCACAGUAAGAUGUCAGGAUCAGGAUAACUUGUCCCCAAGCUGUAUAUAUCAUCAGAUAAAUGGAUUGUUUUUUUUUAAAUUGGUGGGUAUGCCAGCAAACUACCCACAUAAAAGCAUAUUCGUACUGAAUAUAAAACGCCAGUUGGUACCACGAGACAUAAUCCUGAGGUGUCAAGCGAUGUCCAACAAGUUAAGCCUGCUAGCGGUGAUAAAAGGGAAGACGCUAUAUAACUUUGAGAACUGUAAAAUUUCAUUCUUCCAGGAUCUUAGUAGAGCCACACUACAGUGGCAUAAAGCCAUGCAACUCCUCACACAGACCGUACAAAAAGAAGGACUGACCUACAGAUGGGCGACACCGCACAUACUGUGGGUCACCAAAAAACGGAAAGUUCUAUAAGGCCACAGACCCUGCAGAUGCUCCCGCACUCUUGGCGGCACUGGACUUGCAACCUAACCCUACUCACGGACCGCCAGAUAUACGCAACCCCGAAUGGACACUGACUCGGACACUUCUUCAACCUACCCCGGAAGAGGCAGGAGACCAAAGACCAAAAUAACAUGCCUGGCCAUCUCACGUUGCAGUGGCACAUACGUGACUUUCUUAGUUACCAAGUUUUGCAAUUGUAACACUACAAGUUUCGCUUAAUUUGCCCACUUUUACACACACUAAUGCACAGUCACUCUGCUUUGCUGAAACACCCAAAGCUCUCACACUCUGCUCAGGAACUCUCCCCCUCCCCCAUAGUUCCGACACGCCAAGGAGAAAAAGACAAGGGACCAAACACACAGAUGAGGGCCACACGAUAGGACUUACACCACUAGUACUACCUCAUAGAGAUAGCCCACUCACUGGAGACGGAACCGAGAUAUCACCUGGAACCACAGCUCUGCCACCUAGUGGGGCCGACACAACAGAGACACCAACACCUCUCCCUUCUACAUACACCCGAGUGACCUAGACUCCGCAAAACUCACUGGCACGCAAACUCCGCGGACCACUCAUAGAGGGGCUCUAUUAACCCAUAUAUUGACCAACUCACUACAACCCGACAGUCCAUCACACUUCUAAAAAUGUGCUCACCAGACAUAAACCACAAACAUAUGAUGUUACAUAAGAUGUUUACUCGUGUAUCAGACCAAAACACAAAGAAUGUAUGUACGUUGCAUGCAAAUCUGCACCAAAAAUAAAGAAUUUUAAAUAAAUAAAAUGCCAGUUGAUAACAGUCACUUGCGGGUUUCGCCAGUCCCCGAUCACGUGGUCCUUCAGUGUCCGCCUCUCUCGUGACGUCUUGCGUGGCCCGCUUCACCCACCUUCUCUGGCUUCUUCCAACUAACAUUAAACCAAUACAUUGUGCUAAGUUUAGACUGGCAGCUUAUAUCGUUUUAAGGAUGGUUUAGUAAUAAGCGACGAUAAUCACCAUCUGGAAAUAAUACUAUACGAGGGUAGACAGCCUUCAGUACUCCAGAUGUUAUGGACAGGGCCACCAUCAGGGGGGUACAGGUAGUAUACCUGCAAGUGAUCCAGGCCAAAUAUGGACAAUAAAUAAAUAAAUAAAUAAAUAGUGAAUAUGGCUAUAUAUAUAUAUAUAUAUAUAUAUAUAUAUAUUGCCAUUGCAUGCUUUAACAGAGGGAGAGGGAGCCCAGGAGGCUGUCCAUCUGCUCUGCUGGGCCCACUCGCAAAAUCCCGGCUCUCAGAGCUCUGCCGCAAUUACUUUGGCAAUGCUCCGACUCCGCAUUCUGCCGUAGCUCGCAACAACAGCAUGGGCAGCCUCCAAAUACAGCCGGGGAAUGUAGUGUCCCUAUUCCCUGGCCAUGGGUAAGAGCAGGGAGCAGAGACACACAGCAAAUUAACAAAAAAUAUUAAUAAAAUGCUCCUCUCACCCUACUCCUCACAACACAGCCCCUAUCUCAGCCCACAAAUACAUAAUAACACUGUAUACACACACUGCAUACACUACAUACUGUAUAUACACAUACUGCAUACAAUGUAUACAUGAACUGGAUGCACUACACACUCUGUAUCUACUACAUACACAUACUGCAUACACUGUAACAUUCACUAUAUACACACACUGCAUGCACUGUAACAUUCACUAUAUACACAUACUGCAUACACUGUAACAUUCACUAUAUACACAUACUGCAUACACUGUAACAUUCACUAUAUACACAUACUGCAUGCACUGUAACAUUCACUAUAUACACACACUGCAGCCACUACACAUAUUAUAUACAGACUCUGCAGCCACUACACACUGCAGACACAAUACACACAGUACACACUACAUACACACACUGUAUACACUAUAUACACACACUGCAUCCCUUACGCACACACAAACUUACACUGCAUUUCUUAAACACACACACCGCAUCCACUACUUAUAUUAUAUACACACAAUGUAUCCACUAUAUGCACACACACUGCAUACACUAUACACACAUACUGCAUACACUACAUGCAUACACUACAACCCUUAAACACACAUACUGCAUACACUACAUGCACACACUACACCCCUUAAACACACAUUGCAUCCACUACACACAAGUGCACUUCCUUGCUGACACACACAUACACACUACAUUCCUUAUUCACACUGGAUUCCCUAUACACAGACAUUACAUCCUCUACAAACACACUACAUUACCUAUGACAACUCUAAGUGCCUGUGAGAUGGUGGGCGGCCCUUUAGGCAGACUCGGGGUCAGCCCUGUGGGCAGUCUGGGAAGAGGGGAGCAAGGUCCAGACUUGGAGAUGUGUAAGGGGCCCCAAAAUGUCUGACUACAUAUACCAUAUUGCUUUGUAAGAAUUAUGGCUACAAGAGCAUGAUGGGAGAUGUAGUCAACAACAUCUGGAGUGCUGAAAGUUGUCUACCUUUGCCCUAUACAUUUGCUAUUAAUCCAUCCAGCACACUGUAUUGAUAAAAUGACACUUAAUACAUGUGCCACCUUGCCACAUUUACGUGGUGGGUGCACUUUAAAUGCUGAUAUUAUCGUGGCUCCCCCAUUUUCAAUGAAGGCUCAGAUUGGAGAGAGAGGGGAAAAAAGCUUAAAACCUAAGAUGAAGAUUAUACUAAAAUAGUCCCGGGAAGGCCGUGAGUCAAAAGAGCUUAUAGAUUUUGGCUCCGGCGGCACAGAGAGAUGAAUUCAUUUCUAGCACAACCUGACUGAGAGUCUUCAAUAGGAUUUCUGUUACUUCAAAGACACUGCACACAAUGGCGACUAAAUCCAAAGGAAUAGCGAUUGUCUCUAAAGCGAGAGCACAUGUCUUGUAUUGCCCUACUUAAUAUUCGUAACCCUUUAUCCACCACAGGUCCUCCAGGGCAUUCCGCUAAUAGUAUAAAACUAUGUUGCAAUACCAAAGAGCUUACAUAUUGUUAUCAAUGUAGCCCAAAGUCUGGAAAUAAUGGGAACAUUUUUAUUUACUGAAUCAUUUAUUAGUGGUUGGUCUUUGAAGUUUAUAUUUCCUCAUACAGACAUGCUGUCUGUCUGCCCUGCCAUAGCUCAUUGAAAUAUAAGCUUUGAGCAUCUAGUCUACCUUUGCUGUGACUUACACUCCCCUUUAGGUUUAAAAGUUUGGUCAACUAACAGAAAUGAGUUUUAGUGCCAUGAGUACAAUCGGGGCAAUUUCAGGGUCUUCCUUCAUACGGUACAUAUUAUAUCAGAGACCGUAAAAUCAAAAUUAAAAAAUUUGAAUUUUAAUGACCAGUUUCCAAUGCAAUAUACAUUUGGUGAGGAUGAUACUACAUUUCCAAAAUGAGAUAUAUAGUACUUUUCAUUACCAAUAAAUACGUAUGAAACUUGAUUCGUUUUUGUGAAUCCAGGGAGUGAUCUUUUAUUAUCAAGUUUCGCACCAAAUUCAGUUAAGAAAAAAAGAAAAGCAAGGAGAGAAUUCUGGUUUCAUUUUGUACUUGGCCGCUAAGGAAAUGUUUCUAUGAAUUCUUCGCAAUUUGGGAAUGUAGUGCAUUUUUUAUACUGACAAUGUGAUAACUCAGUAUUCUAAAUAUCUGGCUUUCGAUACACUGUAAACACAAUUCAUUUUUUUUUUUUUAAAUAUGGUCAGUUUUAAAUGGUUUUUAGGAAAAACAUACUUAUUUGUAAAUUCUACUUCUAUUUGAGCUGAAUCAGGAUUUGUUCCCAAUCCACACGAUAUAAUCUCUGGAGAUUAAAACAAAAGGAAAUGUUUAUGACAAGGGAAAAUCAUGUGAAUCGGAAAUUUAAAUUUGAUUUAAAACGUUUUCUUAAUCUCUAACACUUCUUGCAUUACUUUUGUGUUGUAAUAAUGCACAUCUGGUACAAAAUCACUAUUAAAACAAAACCUUAUACUUUGAUGAAAUUAAUAUUUUAUGAUCCUCUUAACAUGCCGCAACCAGUAGUGUGCUUGUACAUAGAUAAUCAGUAAAUAUAUACGUGUAAUCUGUUUCCUAUCCCCCUGUGGAAGUUCCAAAAGAUUACUUAUUUCCUUUACAAAUGUAGUUUAGAAUACGCAUUUCAGAUGCUAAGAAGUAGAAUGAUGGGAAUUAUUAGCGACGUUAAAUAACAUUCUCAUAAGAUAAAAAAUAAUUAAUAAAGAUUAUUUCUGCAAACUCCCCAAAUAUUUGGAAACCAUGUUGAGUGCAUUAUAUCCUUUGAAAGGAGAUGUCUAAUGCCACACUGAUACUGCAUAUUAGGUAAGAGGUAAUGCUUUGCCUGCAUAUAGCUUCUAUCAUUAAUAUUGUAUGCACUUUUCUCUGCAGUCAAUAUUUUUAUAAAAGCAGUUUGACCUGUGCCUCCUAUGUUUGGUUUGUCUAUCUAUUGACUAAUAAAGUUGUAACUUCAGACACUUCCUAUCAGUGUAUGCAGUCACUGCUCAUGGGCAGGGUCUGCCUUCUUUCUAAACUGCAAGACAUGCCCCCAGCUGAAGCCACACCCAUGAGGUUCCUAGGAAGUUGGAAUAUUGUCUAAAAAAAAGAUACCUAACACUCCUUUUAUAUUUAAUAAGGUGGGUUAUUGCUUAAUGCAGUUGGAUUUUUCUUCUCUCUUCCAAUAGUGACAAAGUAAUAGGAGGUAAAGACUGAGUUAUGUGGCUGGGAUCAAAGAAAGAUAGGGAACUGGAAGAAGUGAAUAGACCGGAGGAAUAAGAGGCAGAAUUGGACAAAGCAGUAAAGAAAGCUGAACACUUCUUAUAACAGAGCCCAUGUCCCCAUCAAUUGACUGUCAUACCUGGAGUUACAGGAUCCGAUCUAGAGAGCAGCUACAUAUCCUACUAAUCUAACUCUACCUAAUUAAACUGCAUAAUGUUCAGUGUUUUUCCCCUUGAUGUUUAAUCUCUUUGCUUUGUAUACAAUAUAUCACAGUGGGAAAUCAAAUUAAAAAUAACUCCAUUUCUAAUUGUAUUUCUACAACCUCACAGCUGUCAUUAAUUGCUGUUUGCAAUCACCGUUUUCCUAACUAUUUCCUCCGGUUUUAUUGUAACGCCUUAUUAAGGUGGAAAACAAAUUGGAAUCCAAUAUAUUUUUUGCAGCAAGAUUUUUUGUUUAUUAUUAUUUUUAUAUUAUUUUUUUAUGAUCCUAAAAGUCUAGGAAACUGUUCUCUUUUUGUGAAAUCCCUGCAAUUAUUUAACAGAAGAAAAAUCAUUGAAUGGAUUGGUUUUAGCUUAUCUGGGCUCCUGUUGCAAAUUAAGCACCGUAAUAGUACUAAAAUCUGUAUUUAUGAAGUGCCUAUAAAUCUAAGUAUAUGGGGGGAGAGCUCGCUGCGAAGGGUUUGAAGUACUUUUGGAAAACAUGGCCUCUGCAGUCUCAUUUUAGGAUAGAAUGCAUUGCUGUUUCAAUGCAUUUUUGGUAUCGAAGAUGCCAUUGUCCGCAACAUGUUGUUGCUAUAUAUCAGUUUAUUAAGUCUUGGUAGAUUAUUGUGAUUAGGGUACCUGCAGAUAGUACUGAGAGGCUGCAGUCUGAAGAGACAGUCGACGUUGUAUUAGAAAUUAUUCUGCUGUGCAGAUUUUGAUACCUACUUAGUUCUAUGGCCAUAUUCAAGAUUGUCUGUUUAAGAUAAUGGGAAUCUCUGGAAUCUUGUCCUACCAGCCGUAUCACUUACCUUGCAGCCUCUUAAAGGGACACUCUAGACCCCCUAAAGCACUUUAGUGUGCUGAAAAUGUUUAUAUGUGAAGACUGUCCAAUUUUUCAUUUUGGAAAUAGUGCAGAUUUCAAUAGAAAUUGAAACUGUUAUAUAUUAUACUGGUUACACCCCCUGGCCUUUCAAGCAGACAAUAGGUCCUGUUACUUCCUGGUUUCAUUAGCUCAGUUGCACUGAAUUCAAGAGGCAGCAUAUGCCUGAAGCACCUGCCUUGCAAAGACUUCUCAUUGAGCUGCAUUGGGAAGUCUGUGAUUGGACAGCCACAGAAAGUCGGGGCGGGGUUAGAAGGGGAGGGCUUGCAAAGGCUGCAGUCAAAAGAUCUCUAGUUUUUGCAAGUUGUUUUCAUAUAGAUCGCCGAUGGUAAAAUACAUAAUUAAAUGCAUGCAUGUUUUUAUUGGGGAUAUAUCUACUAAACGGUGAUUUUUUAAUUUUAUUUUUUGCAUUUGGGUAUUGGAGUGUCCCUUGCUGGAAUGUGUCACACCCCCUCCCCAUUCACUGAUUUGUGCUGUCACAUUUAGAGGGAUACUCGUCUUGCUGCAUUGCUUCAGGGGCUAACAGCGCGUUCGCUGUGCCUUAUUUUUAAUAGAAAUCAGCACUUUAUAGUAACACCACCUUUGCUGACCAACCAACAGCUGGGAGGGUUCCUGCAUCACUCGCUUCCAACUGUAGUUCCAAACAGAAGUGAGUGCUUCUUGUAGAUUAGUAUUGGUUUCCCUGCUUUCAGUGAGUAGUAUGAUUGACCAAUCACAGCUAUUGCCGCACAUGCGCCAUGUGUCUCAAUACUUCUCGAUGACAAAGUAUCUGAUUGGACACAAGUUAUCAGUAAUCAUGACCUUACAGGACAAAUCCAAACUGCAAAAUUCAGAAAAUAGCCACUCUGUAGCUUAAGAUGAGUUGGAGAAUUUUUCCGAAUCAGAUAUUUUGUUCUACAGUUCUGAUUUAAACUCGUUAAAUUUGGUUUUUAGUGAAUAAACUCCAGUUGACUUGCAGAAUUUUUUCAGUUCGUUUAGAAAUUCACUUUGAAUUCCUGACAAUUCACACUGUAACGAAUAACCCUGUAUGUAUGCUUCUGAAUACAAAGAGGUUCUGGAGCAGCUGCUGAGGGUGCCCCCUCCCCUCCGCCACAUGGAUAUCUAGUGGCAAUGUCAUGGUUACUGAUGAUUUGAGCCAAUAUAAAUAACUUGCCUGUGGGACAAGAAGCUGCCCCGUGUAUGGCGAUGGCUGGGAGGAAAUCGCUUGCAUCCUGCGCAAAAAGCAUUUGCACACUAAAUACGGCCAUUAAAAUAUUUGACAUGAGUUGCACCUUGAAGCAGAUGUUUGUUAAGGGCAGUUUGUCAUCUGUAAGCUGUUUAUGCAGAAAAAGGGCUGUGAAUGUGAUUGGACGCGAGUGUGUGCCUAUCCUUAUAUAACCUGCACAGUAUAGCGAACGCUUCCUUAGUAACCCAGCACAAAGGGCACAGCUGUUUGCUUAUCUGCAAAAUGUUUUCCAUACAAACAGAGGACAAGAAUAGCAUGCCAUUAAAGCCACAAAAGCGCUUUAACCCCUGUAGCCAGGGCGGCACAGAACACUCUCUUUACACGCAUGUAUAUAUUUAUAUGUACAGUGCGUGUGUGUGCCUGUUUUUCAAACUUUAAGCAUGUUUUUGUUGGUCAUUUUUUGCCGGCUCCAUGCUGCCCUGCGUAUCACGAUUAGACAAAUAAAAUCCCAGGAAUGUAUUUUAUGGUGACAGAGGGGGAACACGCACUAAAGACUCCAUUAAAAAUUUUAGUCGUGUUAUUUCAUUUAACUCUUUAAGAUCACAAGAACAAAGCAUUAACAGUGUAAAUCAGUUUUUGUGAUGUGUUGAUUGGAAGGGAUCUCAGCUAUUUACUAAACAGAGAGUUGCUGUGAAAUUAUUUUGAAAAGUUAGAUCAAUGGAGAGAUUUUUUUUUUUUCUGUCUUUUGCAUACCACCCAGGUCUCCCUAUUUAUGAUGGACAGUCCCUACUUUGAGCUCCAAUCCUUUUUUUUCUAGGAGAUCCCUGUUGUUGGUGUGUCUGAGUGUAUAACAGAGCUCCACAGCAAUAAUACUCCCAGUAAUGUGUCUGAGUGUAUAACAGAGCUCCACAGCAAUAAUACUCCCAGUAAUGCGUGUCUGAGUGUAUAACAGAGCUCCACAGCAAUAAUACUCCCAGUAAUGUGUCUGAGUGUAUAACAGAGCUGAGUGUAUAACAGAGCUCCACAGCAAUAAUACUCCCAGUAAUGUGUCUGAGUGUAUUACAGAGCUUCGCAGCAAUAAUACUCCCAGUAAUGUGUCUCCGUGUAUAACAGAGCUCCACAGCAAUAAUACUCCCAGUAAUGUGUCUGAGUGUAUAACAGAGCUCCACAGCAAUAAUACUCCCAGUAAUGUGUCUGAGUGUAUAACAGAGCUCCACAGCAAUAAUACUCCCAGUAAUGUGUCUGAGUGUAUAACAGAGCUCCACAGCAAUAAUACUCCCAGUAAUGUCUGAGUGUAUAACAGAGCUCCACAGCAAUAAUACUCCCAGUAAUGUGUCUGAGUGUAUAACAGAGCUCCACAGCAAUAAUACUCCCAGUAAUGUGUCUGAGUGUAUAACAGAGCUCCACAGCAAUAAUACUCCCAGUAAUGUGUCUGAGUGUAUAACAGAGCUCCACAGCAAUAAUACUCCCAGUAAUGUGUCUGAGUGUAUAACAGAGCUCCACAGCAAUAAUACUCCCAGUAAUGUGUCUGAGUGUAUCACAGAGAGCUCCCAGCAGCAAUAAUACUCCCAGUAAUGUGUCUGAGUGUAUAACAGAGCUCCCAGAGCUCCACAGUAAUAAUACUCCCAGUAAUGUGUCUGAGUGUAUAACAGAGCUCCACAGCAAUAAUACUCCCAGUAAUGUGUCUGAGUGUAUAACAGAGCUCCACAGCAAUAAUACUCCCAGUAAUGUGUCUAACAGAGCUCCAGUAAUGUGUCUGAGUGUAUAACAGAGCUCCACAGUAAUAAUUCUCCCAGUAAUGUGUCUGAGUGUAUAACAGAGCUCCACAGUAAUAAUACUCCCAGUAAUGUGUCUGAGUGUAUAACAGAGCUCCACAGCAAUAAUACUCCCAGUAAUGUGUCUGAGUGUAUAACAGAGCUCCACAGCAAUAAUACUCCCAGUAAUGUGUCUGAGUGUAUAACAGAGCUCCACAGCAAUAAUACUCCCAGUAAUGUGUCUGAGUGGAUAACAGAGCCCCACAGUAAUAAUACUCCCAGUAAUGUGUCUGAGUGUAUAACAGAGCCCCACAGUAAUAAUACUCCCAGUAAUGUGUCUGAGUGUAUAACAGAGCUCCACAGCAAUAAUACUCCCAGUAAUGUGUCUGAGUGUAUAACGGAGCUCCACAGCAAUAAUACUCCCAGUAAUGUGUCUGACAGUAUAACGGAGCUUCACAGCAAUAAUACUCCCAGUAAUGUGUCUGAGUGUAUAACGGAGCUCCACAGCAAUAAUACUCCCAGUAAUGUGUCUGAGUGUAUAACGGAGCUCCACAGCAACAAUACUCCCAGUAAUGUGUCUGAGUGUAUAACGGAGCUCCACAGCAACAAUACUCCCAGUAAUGUGUCUGAGUGGAUAACGGAGCUCCACAGCAAUAAUACUCCCAGUAAUGUGUCUGAGUGGAUAACGGAGCUCCACAGCAAUAAUACUCCCAGUAAUGUGUCUGAGUGGAUAACAGAGCUCCACAGCAAUAAUACUCCCAGUAAUGUGUCUGAGUGUAUAACAGAGCUCCACAGCAAUAAUACUCCCAGUAAUGUGUCUGAGUGUAUAACAGAGCUCCACAGUAAUAAUACCCCCAGUAAUGUGUCUGAGUGUAUAACAGAGCUCCACAGCAAUAAUCCUCCCAGUAAUGUGUCUGAGUGUAUAACAGAGCUCCACAGUAAUAAUACUCCCAGUAAUGUGUCUGAGUGUAUAACAGAGCUCCACAGCAAUAAUCCUCCCAGUAAUGUGUCUGAGUGUAUAACAGAGCUCCACAGCAAUAAUACUCCCAGUAAUGCGUCUGAGUGUAUAACAGAGCUCCACAGCAAUAAUACUCCCAGUAAUGUGUCUGAGUGUAUAACUGAGCUCCACAGUAAUAAUACUCCCAGUAAUGUGUCUGAGUGUAUAACCGAGCUCCACACCAAUAAUACUCCCAGUAAUGUGUCUGAGUGUAUAACAGAGCUCCACAGCAAUAAUACUCCCAGUAAUGUGUCUGAGUGUAUAACAGAGCUCCACAGCAAUAAUACUCCCAGUGAUGUGUCUGCCUGUACAACAGAGCCCACAGCAAUAAUACUCCCAGUAAUGUGUCUGAGUGUAUAACAGAGCUCCACAGCAAUAAUACUCCCAGUAAUGUGUCUGAGUGUAUAACAGAGCUCCACAGUAAUAACACUCCCAGUAAUGUGUCUGAGUGUAUAACAGAGCUCCACAGCAAUAAUACUCCCAGUAAUGUGUUUGAGUGUAUAACAGAGCUCCACAGCAAUAAUACUCCCAGUAAUGUGUUUGAGUGUAUAACAGAGCUCCACAGCAAUAAUACUCCCAGUAAUGUGUCUGAGUGUAUAACAGAGCUCCACAGCAAUACUACUCCCAAUAAUGUGUCUGAGUGUAUCACAGAGCUCCACAGCAAUAAUACUCCCAGUAAUGUGUCUGAGUGUAUAACAGAGCUCCACAGCAAUACUACUCCCAGUAAUGUGUCUGAGUGUAUAACAGAGCUCCACAGCAAUAAUACUCCCAGUAAUGUGUCUGAGUGUAUAACAGAGCCCCACAGCAAUAAUACUCCCAGUAAUGUGUCUGAGUGUAUAACAGAGCUCCACAGCAAUAAUACUCCCAGUAAUGUGUCUGAGUGUAUAACAGAGCUCCACAGCAAUAAUACUCCCAGUAAUGUGUCUGAGUGUAUAGCAGAGCUCCACAGCAAUAAUACUCCCAGUAAUGUGUCUGAGUGUAUAACAGAGCUCCACAGUAAUAAUACUCCCAGUAAUGUGUCUUCAAAAUACAAUAACUGUGUUUAGAAAUCAUUCUGUGUAAAUAAGAUACAGUGUUCUAAAUCAUGUUUUAGUUCUAGAAAUGUAUUAGUAAGUCUUGUAAAAGCUCUCAGAACAGCCUAGCCCUUGGCAACCCCCACACAAAGUUCUAAAAUGAAAGUGUCCCUCUCUGUUUAUUUGACACAUUGGGAGGUAUAUAGAUAUAUAUAUAUAUAUACUUUAUUACUUUUGUUCUAAAUUUGUAAAACUGUCCUCAUGUUUUCACAAUUUGCUGUUUAUUGAAUCAAUGUGAGAGUGCUGUUAUCACGCUGUCCUUCAUGACCGGAUCCCACCCUUUGCAGGAGGUCUGAGAUCCAGGGGAAAUGUCAGGUGAUACGGGAGCUAAAAUGCAAAGACUGGCAUUUGGCAAAGGGCAGAUGAGGCGCUUUAACCCCUUGAGUGCUAGUGGAAGGAGCCAGGCUUUGUAAAUCACAAAUUUUAUUCACAAUUCCCUGGCAGUUUCAAAACUCAAAAACAAAUCUGAAAAAUUAAAAAUGUGUUUGUCUCAAUAAGACUUAACCCCUCACUCUUACCUUGCAGACAGGACGAUGCACAAGUUUAUUUGAUUCGUCCUCCUGGAGAGAAUCUUAAUUUUUUAUCAUACAAUUUGUAACCCAAAUCUCGUGCAGCACAGAUCUCCAUUCUCCACCCUUUCCCAUCAUGCACGCUACUAUUAAAUAAAUAGGGUGCAAAUCUGUACCCUCUGUAAUCUAUAUUGCUGCUGCCCUCUCCAGGACUUGAUAGGCCACUGGCCACUGCUUUCCAUGCAGCCUCUCUUUACAUUGAUUCUAUUACAAAUAUAUCUAGAUAUAAUGGAUGAGUUAGCAGGAGAAGUUCCUCUGGUGUUUGUCAAAUUAUUUUCAAGUAAUAUAGCAACAGUACUAUGUUUCAGUGGUUAUGGUACGUGGCGUGUUCCGGGAAAUGAAGAGAGUUCUAAAACUGGAGCUAUACUACUUUCUCUUUCCUAAUAACGGCAUUUAAUUCUGAUUUAGAACACUGACAGGGUUAUUCAUAAACAGGGUUAUUAGAAUUCAAAGUGAAUUUCAAAUUCAAGACUGAACUAUAUGCGUCGCUGUCUGAGAGUUUUUUCACUUUGAAAUUCACUUUGAAUUCUCACUUUAGUAAGUAAGCCCAGUCACAGGAUGAAAGCCUCUCUCUGUCUAUAUAUAUAUAUAGAGAGAGAGAGAGAGAGAUACAAAGUGACUGAGCGCACACUCUGCAAGGCUCUGGCAGACUGUUCUCCGUACGGCCUCCAGGGGUUUUUUAAGGACAAAGGAGAUUUGCAUACUUUGUGCACGUACUGCCAAACAGCAGAUAUAAUAAACAUGUUCUCCUUUAAGCCAAUAUAAAUAAGUUGUUUAUCAUUUUUCUAAAGAUCAGUCGAUAACCCCUGCUACAUUGGGCGCCGUUUGCAAAAAAUAUACUGUUUUAUUUAGGAUCAGACCGGAGAUUCUUUAUCUGAAUUUGUAUAAAAACAGGCACUUUCUCUGCUUCUCCUAAACCCUCCUGGGAGCAGAUUUCCUGCCUCUGAAACGCCAUUGACCUUAAAAAUAGCUACUUGCAGCAUAAACAUUCUGACUGUUUCACGUGCCGUAAAUGGUAAUUAGAGCAUAUCGUAUUGACAGUAACUUGGAAUCCAUCAUGUAGGUUAUUUUGGUGUUUUUGAUUUAAGAGGAAUAUUCAUAGUUAAAUAAAAGGUGUGUUUUAAUCUAUCACUGCAAGACACACGCAGUCCCAAUUCCAGCAGUCCCAAAGUGACAGCCCCCGCCAUUCGGAUUUUGUCCCCUGGUGUCCCGUAUCUAGGAACAGCAGUGAAAAGGCCAUUAAAUGCCCCACCCUAUCAACAGGGGGUGAGUGUGAGUGUGGCCAGGGACGGGGCUGAGAAAUUUUAGAUGCCUUAUUUACAAUUUAUCUAAACUAAAAUGUAAUUUAGAACAAUAACAAUGUAUGUUUUUUUAGAUAGAGUCAUUUCUAAACAUGUAUUGUAGUUUAAAGGGUUGCUCCAACUAAAGGGAAGUUUUCAUAAAACACUGGUUUUGGUUGUAGUAACCCUCUCUAUGGUAGUCUCCCAACACCAAAAGACGCAAAGUACCAGUUUUCCAGUACCACACCCUGGCCAAGUUCUCACUCAGCAGAUGCACUGACAGGGGAGGCCAUGCCGUAUUUGGAUGUCCUUUGUCAGAUGCCAAUUUUGCACAGAAUUCUAAGCUGGCUAUAGACGCUGGUGGAGGUAGCGUUACAUCUCCGACAGCCAAGGGUUAAUCUCUGUAUUGCACCAUUUCCUAGUGAAGAGCUGCACAUACAUAUUCCAGGCACCAUGACCACCUCAGAUUACUGACCCCUUUAACCCCUUAAGGACACAUGACAUGUGUAACAUGUCAUGAUUCCCUUUUAUUCCAGAAGUUUGGUCCUUAAGGGGUUAAACACAUAUUGCUAUUGGUAUUAUUGCUGUGGAUCUCUGAAUAUGGAGCUCCUAGAAAAGAGGUACAGAUGGAUUUGAGCAAUGUUUAAUCUGAUCAGCCAAUCCCAUUUCUUAAAUAGCUUGUCCCAAGCACCUGGUAGGUUCACAAAAUAUAAUGCGUCUCCUUAAGUGUUGCUGUUUGAAUCUGUAUCUGUCUAAGUGUAGCUGUAUAACGGUGUAUCUGUCUCUUUAAUUACAGCUUUGUAAAUAUGUAUUUUCCUCCUUAAAUGUAACUUUGUAAAAUCGUACUUGUCUCUUUAAAUGUAGCUUUGCACAUUCACACCUUGAAAAAGUGAAGAUAUUCAGUCACACCAUCUGUACAAACUGGUUUUUUUCUUCCUGGAAAUUUAGUUUCUUUACAUACUGUAAACUCAUUUGUAAAAACUGAGCACGUUUUACAGCAGGCUGAAUGUCAUUCUGUUUUAUUUAGGGGCACUAAGACACCCAAAGGGGCAGUACACACAGGAGUUACGAGAUCUUUUACUAAAGUAAGAAUUCAAAGUGAAUUUCAGAUUUAAGGCCAGAGUAGUUGAACAGAGACCAUUUUUCCUGUUUGUUUAUUUUGACCUUAAAUUUGAAAUUCACUUUGAGUUCUCAUUUAGUGAAUAAGCCAGUAAAUGGCUAAAACUGAUAGUGAGUUGGACAUGAAUCUCAAUGAUGCACGUGGGAUCAUCAUGCAAUCCAUUUAAUAGUAAUAAUUUAUACUCCAGGUUAAUAUUAACAUGGUGUUAUGUGACUAUUUUUAACCCCAUUUGUAAAAUGAUUGUCAUACUAUGCAUGUCAUAAAAAAUGGGGUUUACUAAUGCCCAUCCUUGAUGGGGUUAAACAAUGUUCUGGUUAUAAAGUAUCUGUUCCCGGGAGAUCUACGGAAUUAAUUAUUGGAACACGGUGUGACUCCUGCUGUUCUCUAUAUCACCACCUCCCUCGACACACUGUACUAAGGCUUGUAUGGCUCACACUAACGUGCUGUAUUCUAGCAAUCAGAGGAGGCAGUACUAUGAGGGCUACAACCAUCUGUAGGCAAAAUUACAUAUUUCAAAUAAAUAAAACUCCACUUUUUCUUUCUUAAAAAUAACUAUGUGGUGAUGCUGGGUUUAAUGAAUGAAUGUGUUAAAAUCGAGGGCUAGCAUAGCGAUCAGUAACAGAAAGUGUUUCCUAUGCUUCUAUUGUAAUGGUUGUCAGCUUUGCUUUCUAGGAAUCUUUCUGUCUUGCCUCAUGAAAUAUAGCUAAAAUAAGUACGGAAAAGGUUAAUAUUUUUGGCAACACCCUUUGCAUGUUAAGGGCUCCGUCAUGGAGCAAGUCCAGGUGCGCUGCAAUGUUUAGGAUUUUUUAUGAGAGAAAAAAAGCGCCUGUGGGUAAUGUAAUAUAGACCCUGAAACUAAGUCGUGUGGGUUUCUUCGAAAGCACUGUGCACCCCACUACUGCACGAGGAACACACCCUAAAAGAAAUCAUGCAUUUGUACCUCUUUAAAUUAUCUUUUUUAGGGAUUGCACAGUGAGUAAGCAACCGCCUUGCAACAUUUAGGCCAAAAUAUUCCAGUCAAACUAAUUCUCGCACACAGCUGUUUUCAGGAUUUUUCUUCUAGCUCAGCUAUAUUGACCUGAAUUUUACACGCUGGUUUUUUAACUCCUCCGUUUAACUCACUGUUUAGUGAAUAGACCCAAUUUGGUGUUAUUCAGUAAAAUGUGAACGGCAAAUUGUCAAACACAACUGGCUUGUCCAAAAAAAAAAAAAAUGACAAAUGUGCAAAUCAGGGUGCAGGAUACGAUUACUGCAACUCGCAUGCAUUAGCAGAGUGUGUCACAGAGGGGCUAAUUCACUAAACACGGAAUGUUAAUAAAUCACACUUUGAGCUAGAUUAGUCCAGUUGUGGCUAUAACUGAGCUGGAUACAUUUUCAAAGUCUCCUAUUUUUGCCCAAAUUUAGCAUUUCGUUGUUUAGUGAAUAAGCCUCUUUGUCUCCCGGGUCUGUGAUUACCGAGUGACACCCUGCCCUAAAGCAUCUAUUACAGAAAAAAAGGCGACUCUUUCUAAGAAAUAUGCUUUGCCAGAUUGGAACCUGCAGCUUUAACACUUCCUGCGGGGUGAACUUUUACGUCAUUUUUUUUUUUUUUAAAAAGAGAGAAUAUUUAACAGUUUCUGUGCUGGACUGCUUGCCUCGUUCAGAAUAUUAUAUGCAGAAAUCUCCAAAAUAUGCAGGCAGGGCUAUUUACUAAACUGAGAAUUGUUAGAAAUUCGAAUAAAUUUAAGAACAAAAUAGACUAACUGGAAGCAUAGCGGACUUUUAUUCUAAUUUCACUAUGAAAUUCGCUUUGAAUUCCUGACAAUUCUGUAGCCAUGCAGUAGAUUAAAUUGUAUCAUUCAGCUGAAGGUUAUCUAAAAUUACACGAUUAUAGUUUCAAUUCCAAAAUGUUUACAAUGUGAUUAUUAAAGCUAUCCCCUUUAAAACUACAUUCAGAGUUUUGUAAUACUUGUUUAAAACUAGCGUAUAAUGGUUAUUUUUGAACUAGCGACUGUUUUAGUUGUCAUUUGCAACCGUAGCAAUCUCUUCUCAAUAUAUCAGGAGAUCCCCUCUGUAUUUUGGAAACUUGACCAGAAAGGGUUAAGAAUUUCGGUCCCCAUGUAUGGAAAAAAAGAAAAAAUACAUUUUAUUUUUCCAGACACAGACAGGGAAAUGAAAGUGUGUGACUGACACUGUGAAAAGUUAAUGUGCAUUUUCCCCUGGUCCGUACUGCAGAAAAAGGGUUAAAAAUUAAGGCUGCGAGCCAAGCUAUUGUCAAGGCUCCUUAAUGCCAGCGAAAUGUUGGAUCGUCACCCUUGGCAGAGAUGCUGUCAGAGCUUGCCCGGCAUCUCUUAUCGUGAUGAGGAGUCGUGCUGAUCUCGGAGUGAGGCAGCUACAAAAUGUCCGCCACUCCUCCCCCGCCAUUUUGUCGACAGCAUUUCUCAAAGUGGUUAUUUAUUUAUUUAUUUUUGUGUUAGCUAUGUCUGGCUGCAUCUGUGCAGGAGAGGAUUUUAGAGAGACAGUAAACAGCCGGGUGCACCAAGAUCUUCCUGUUUUCAUUAGUCGGACGAUUUAGUUUUUCGAUCGACGGUUUGGAAAAGAGAAAAAAAAAGUUAUGGCAAGUGUAGAGAGUUUUGGACGUAAACCAACGUCUGCCUUCGGCAGGCUGACCUUGGGAUUCUGCCAUCAACUGUUCUCUCUCCUGGCAUUAAUAUGCUGCUCGAACCUGAUUUUUCAGGCUGGGUCUGUCAGCUAAGAAAUCUUUGGCCCAUGUCAGCUAAGAUAGGGUUAAUGGUUGAGUCCUACACAAUGCAGUGUCAUGGUGGCAAGCCUAUAUAUGACAUUUUGACACUUUUCCUUAAAUUUCUUUAAUUGUUUAAAUAAAUAAAUUUAUUUGUGAGGAUUAAGUGCUGUUUAGUUAACUGGGCACCCCUUCCCAACCGCCCCCUGGCCUAUUAAAUGUGGGGAUAACUCAAUUGUAAUGCAGCAACAAAAGGAUCUCCUUGCUUUUCUCCACUUCUGGGCGAUCACCUCUGCAGAUGAUCUUCCGGUCCACCAAAUGCUGCUAAUAGAUUAGCACUGGAACACAGGGCGCAUGCGCAGCAGUUGUUGCACUGCGUCAGCAAGUUUUGAAUCCAGUGCUGCUCUGUGAGAAGCACUGCUUUUUGUUUCUGGGCUGGGGUACCAAGCAAUCAGGAAGAGCAUCCUCUGUCAUCUCAGUCUGUCUAUUAUUUAGUGCCUUAGGAGUUUCGUUUUUUCCUUUAACACUUUGUGAUGCAUUUCACAUUUCAUUGACACUAUACCCCACAUCCCGAAUAUUUAUUGGAGACUGGCAUUAAGGUCAAACCAGGUCCCUAGGAAACUUCAUUUCAUCAACGUAGUAAGAAUUUGCAAACCUUUAAUCAAAUCGUUAAUGUGUAUCACAAGGUUUGCUGUAUCAGCCAGGUGUAUCCUCAGUCCUCCAGAACUGGAGUUCAAAAACGUUCAAUAGUGAGCAAACUCACUGCUUUUACUAGAUUUUUUUUUUUAGUUUCCUGGUAAAUCUUGCUGUUUUUCUGAGAUAAUUUCUUAUUUGAACAUAUUCACAAAUCUGUCUGUCUAUCUUUCAUUCUGUCUCUCUAGACAAUUUAUCAGGUUAGGGAUUCUGAAAACUCCCACCUUUUCUUUCCCAUGGAGAACUCGCAACCUAAACAGAAGGACCCCGCUAAAUGGAGGCAAGACAUUCUGUGGACUGGACUGAACUAAAGAACACUACCACGCUUCAGUAAAAGAGGAACGCCCCCAAGGAUCUGGAUCAAAUUAUAUUUUAAUGAAUAGGGCAAAAAAACAUAUCCCAUACCCCAAGAAAAGAGGAACACCCCUUAGGAUGUGAUUCAAAUUAUCGUUGAAUGAACAGGGUUAUAUAACAUAUCCCACACUCCAAAAACAGAGGAAUGCCCAAAGGAUCUGGAUCAAAUUAUCUUCUAAUAAAUAGAGCUAUAAAACAUAUAGAGCCAUAAUCCAAGAAAAGAGAAAUGGACCUGGAUGAAAUUAUCUUAUAAUGGGUACGGCUAUAUAACAUAUCCCAUACCACAAGAGGAACCCCAGGCAUAUCACACACCCAAAGAACAGAAUAACUUUCCUGAAGAUCUGGAUCAAAUUAUCUUAUGAUGGACAGGGCUAUAUAACAUAUCAUACACCACACGAACAGAGGAACGCCCCCGAGAAUCCUGAUCAAAUUAUUGUAGAUUGGAUAGGGCUAUACAACAUGUCAUACUUCCCAAGGUAAGAGGAACAGCCCCGAGAAUCUCUAUCAAAUCAGCAACAUAGGAACGUCCCAGAUCUGGAUCAAAUUAGAUAAUUAAUUUAAUAUUUUUCAAUGAUUUGAUAUUUGUGGAUAAACUUUUCAUGUGAUUCAAUUUUUUUUUAUAUAUUGACAUAUUUUUAAAUAUGAUAUCUUUCUUUAUAUUUUAAAAAGUAAUUUUAAAAUCUUAUCCAAAAAUUAUUAAAUACUAUUUUAUCCAAAAAAAUCCAAUGAUCUAAAUUAUUAAACUGAUCACCUAACACAAACACAGCAAUGCCCCUGAGGACCUGGAUCAAAUUAUUGUAGAAUUGACCCGGCUAUAUAAAACAUAUCACAUACUCAAAGAACAGUGGAACACCCCUGAGGACCUUAAUCGAAUUAUUGUAGAAUUGACAUGCCUAUAUAACAUAUCAGAUACUCAAAGAACAGUGGAACGUCCCUGAGGACCUGGAUCGAAUUAUUGUAGAAUUGACACGGCUAUAUAACAUAUCACAUACUCAAAGAACAGUGGAACGUCCCUGAGGACCUGGAUCGAAUUAUUUCAGAAUUGACCUGGCUAUAUAACAUAUCACAUACUCAAAGAACAGUGGAACGCCCCUGAGGACCUGGAUCGAAUUAUUGUAGAAUUGACAGGGCUAUAUAACAUAUCAGAUACUCAAAGAACAGUGGAACGCCCCUGAGGACCUGGAUCGAAUUAUUGUAGAAUUGACCCGGCUAUAUAACAUAUCACAUACUCAAAGAACAGUGGAACGCCCCUGAGGACCUGGAUCGAAUUAUUGUAGAAUUGACACGGCUAUAUAACAUAUCACAUACUCAAAGAACAGUGGAACGCUCCUGAGGACCUGGAUCGAAUUAUUGUAGAAUUGACACGGCUAUAUAACAUAUCACAUACUCAAAGAACAGUGGAACGCCCCUGAGGAUCUGGAUCGAAUUAUUGUAGAAUUGACAGGGCUAUAUAACAUAUCAGAUACUCAAAGAACAGUGGAACGCCCCUGAGGUCCUGGAUCGAAUUAUUGUAGAAUUGACAUGGCUAUAUAACAUAUCACAUACUCAAAGAACAGUGGAACGUCCCUGAGGACCUGGAUCGAAUUAUUUCAGAAUUGACAGGGCUAUAUAACAUAUCACAUACUCAAAGAACAGUGGAACUCCCUGAGGACCUGGAUCGAAUUAUUUCAGAAUUGACCCGGCUAUAUAACAUAUCACAUACUCAAAGAACAGUGGAACGCCCCUGAGGACCUGGAUCGAAUUAUUUCAGCUAUAUAACAUAUCACAUACUCAAAGAACAGUGGAACGUCCCUGAGGACCUGGAUCUGACAUAUAACAUAUCACAUACUCAAAGAACAGUGGAACAUCCCUGAGGACCUGGAUCGAAUUAUUUCAGAAUUGACCCGGCUAUAUAACAUAUCACAUACUCAAAGAACAGUGGAACGCCCCUGAGGACCUGGAUCGAAUUAUUGUAGAAUUGACAGGGCUAUAUAACAUAUCACAUACUCAAAGAACAGUGGAACGUCCCUGAGGACCUGGAUCGAAUUAUUGUAGAUUUGACAUGGCUAUAUAACAUAUCGCAUACUCAAAGAACAGUGGAACGUCCCUGAGGACCUGGAUCGAAUUAUUUCAGAAUUGACCCGGCUAUAUAUCAUAUCACAUACUCAAAGAACAGUGGAACGCCCCUGAGGACCUGGAUCUAAUUAUUGUAGAAUUGACACGGCUAUAUAACAUAUCACAUACUCAAAGAACAGUGGAACGCCCCUGAGGAUCUGGAUCGAAUUAUUGUAGAAUUGAUGUGGCUAUAUAACAUAUCACAUACUCAAAGAACAGUGGAAUGCCCCUGAGGUUCUGGAGCAGAAUUAUAAGCGAGUAGGUAAACCUAGAUGUAAUUUUCUUAUCCCAAAAAGAGAGGUAGGUCCCAGAGGUUCUCGGCACAGAAGCUGGUCUCUGUGGAAGGACAGUGGAGCAAAGACCCAGGUGUACAUAACUUACAUUUAUUUUAUUUGUUGAAGUACUUAUUUCAGGCUGAUAACAUUCUCUGACUUAGCUAAGUCUGUGUAAAGGCUGCUCUAGGGUGUCUGGACUGUUUUUUUUGUUUUGUUUUUUCUGUGCUCCCCUGACACACAGCAAAAAUACUCCAAUCACCUCUUCAGCAUGCCGUAGUGCUUCACGGGUUAAUUGCCUGUCCCUGCAGGCUUAUUUUCUAAAAAGAUUUUAAAUCCUACAGGCGGGAGGGUUUCCUGCCUCAUGUGCUUUGAACAAUAAUUCAAAGUGGAAGUGAGGGAAACCUGGUUGGAUUAGCGAGCAUUCUAACACCAAACCCCCUGAUUGUACCCAUUCACAUUGCGGUGCUACCCUUUCAGACAAUUCUUGGUAAACUACAAUACAGUGUAAUACAGCUUUGAUUUGCCAGUCUCAGUCAUGCGAGUCUCUCAAUGUCAAGGCUCUGAUUGGACAAUGCCCGGCGGUGGUUAUGCCGCAAAGAGUAUGUAGUUUGACAAACAAAACAAAUCUCUACCAGUGUCUACACCCUCGCCUCAGUCCUGCAGAUUGGCUAAUGCGGUAGUGAAUGUACAACAGAUGUUUUGGACUACACCUCCCAUGAUGCUUUGCCAGGAUUAUGGGUGUAAGAGCAUUAUGGGGGAUGUAGUCCACAAUAUCUGGAGUGCCGAAGGUUGCCUAUCCCUGGUCUACAUUAUUCUGUCUGAUUUUGGACAGCAGUGAUCGGCUGAGAGCUCUUGGGGUGGCACUCUCUAGAAUUGCGAGUUCUCUGCAAAUUCCUGUUUUCGUGAACAGCCCUGCCUAAUAAUGUACAUAUGUUUUUAUAAUUAUCAAGUAACCCUUGAUGUUCCAAGAUAUUAUUUUUGUGACAUUGUAUUCAUUAUUUGUUGGUUUGCUGAACAUAAACCACUUAUUAAAGUAGAUCUACUGCAGCUUUGAGCUUAAAGAACGUGUUUGUGAGGAGCCUCGCAUUUCAGAGCAUACAGCAGCCACGGGGUGUGUGCAAGAUUUAUAAAGUGCUAUAAAUAAAUCCUGGGGAAAAAAAAGUUCGAUUUUAAGGCUGAGGUCGCUUCAGGCACCUGCAAAGGGGAAUAAAAGGCCUGUAGAUUAGAAAUUAAUGGUAACAUCAAUUAGGGAAUGUAUUGACUUGAAUUUUCACUGCAGGCAGUAAGAGAAAGCUCACUUAACUCUUUGGGGGCAGUCCAGUACAAAUGAACUAACAAAUUAAAGAGAUACUGUCAUUAAAAAAAAAGAUUACUGAAAUUCCACUUGCAAAGCUUAGACCAAAAUCUGGUCAAUCAAUUUCCUCUUUUUAAAUUUAAAAUGUUGGUCAUGGGACACCGAUAUGGAGAAGAAGACAGUAUGGGAGAACCAAACCAUGUGUUAUAUCAGGAUAACUUUGAAACAUGCAGCCAUUCCUCUCAAAAAUACAGCAAAGUAUAUUGCUAUCUUUAAUAAAUAAAUCCCACUUGUGGCAAGUUCCCUUUAAUCAAAUCUAACUGCAACAUUUUCAGAUUGUAUUGUCCAAUGCUAAUGCUGGUAUCAAUUGAAUAGUGUUUUCUAAUAUUCUUCCAGGACAGUACAGUGCUGUACAGUGAAGAGGAGCCCCAGCAGACGCCAUCUCCUCCUCCCUCCCUGGACCCCCCCUCCACGACAGGCCUUCUUGCGAGCCCAACAUGCAUGCCGUGCUGUAGUAAUGCUCUGACAGCUGGACCUCGCAAGAGUUGGAGAGGACCUGCUGAGGUGGGGGGUGGGGGAGAUGGCAUCUGCUGGGUCCCCUCUUUACUGUACAUGCAGCCAGUGGCUUGGGGGUCUGCAGGGCCAUAUAUGCAUAUAGAGAGAGAGAAAUAAUUGCAAAAUAUAUGUACACAUGUGAGGUCCAGGCCCGUUACAGCUGUAUUGGCUGUACCCCACCCCCUGCCGAUGGCUACCUUGGGUUGACAAGUCUGGUUUAGGAUGUUGGGAGUAAAAAGUGUGUUAACCAACACCUGUAGUGUUUAUGGUUGAUCUUCACUACUAUCCAUAUACAACACUGAACAGUCCAGCACCCAAGGUCUGCAAUUUGCCGCUACUUUAAGAUUUAGAGAAUUAGGGGGGGGGAGGGGGGAGGAAAGACGUGUUAUCUCAAAGGUCACAAGUUUACAAACAGUCUUAAAGCAAAAGAUAAAACAGACAGCAUCUCCCUGAUGUAUUUUAUCAGCGAGAUAUGGACUGGGACGUGAUAAACAACUCUUUAGCAUCACUGACUUGCAAGGGAUUCUGGGUAACCGACACCAGUUCAGUCUGGCCGCUAUUCAUUGAAAGACAAAAGGGCAUUUUUUUAUAAAAGUGUUAUAGAACAGGUUGCAUGGUUUUUUGGGGCAUUUUCUUGGCACAAGCUAUUAAAUAUGUUGUUUUUUUCAUCUCGUUCUUCUUUUGCGCCCUAACAGCCGUUUUUGAAUAAUCAUUAUUAUUUUUUUCAGUGAAGAAAUGAAUGAAUCAAUCUGUCUGUCUAGAAACGUGUUCUGUUUCACGAGCACCCUAACAUCGGCGGUGCUUUUAUGGUAAUGGAUAUUGCUGCAAAAAAUGAAAGAAUUUAGGCAAAUGACGGAAAGAAGACAACUCUUUCUAGACCAUACUUAGAAUAGUUCAAUAACUAUUUAAAAAUUGCUUUCGGAACAUCUUGAUAAAUCCCGCGCCCCCCUCACUUUAGUAACAACUCUGCCAGUACCUAACACGUCCCUAUGCUUAGUAAGAGCUGAUCUUCCCUACACCCUGUUUGCUACAUCUGUAAUAACAUCUGCCGUGACCGGGAAAUGGCUGAGUUAUCUCAGCCAAUCCUCAUCAUUCAUUGCUUUUACUGUGAGCGCAGUGUGCGUCCAAUAAGACUCUGUGCAGUAGGGGUUUAGGGGAUAUACACACAAAAAGCCAAAUAUGCACAAUAGACCCACUUACAAGGGGGUCAUCUUGCGCCCUAGAUUUCUACAGCGGCGUAUAAAUAAAUGCCAGAUUGUUGUCUGUGUAUGAAAAAUGCUAACUUUAUUUUAAGUUAUCUGCAGUGUAUUCACUAAACUGGCUUUUAUACAAUAAGACAGCUUAUUAAUAUAAUGGAGUUAGUGAUAUUGUUUUCCAAUUCAGCUCUUUUCGGUACAUUUAUAGAACCUGCAAUUCCCUUGUCUAUUUCCUCUAAUUCCUUUUUUAAAUUAAUAACCACUCACUGAUGGUUACCAGAGAAACCCUAUAAUACCGUAGCCCUUAUAUGUAUGGUGUCCCACUCCACUCUCCAAAUACAGCCAGAUAUUUCUAGUUUUGUCUGUUGCCUCACGCUAUUCCCAUGAAAUGUGUUAAAGUGUCUGCCAGCUACUUUGUAAAUCUAUUAUCUCCAGAUAUUGCAAAUACAAGGAGCAGUUUAGAAGUGUGGGGCCCUCCGCCUUUGAUCUCCAAGGGUUGACGUUAAUGGGGGUAUAAUAUUUACCCUCUUCAUAUAUUUGAAGUGUUUGCUUGGGACGCAAGACGUACCAAUGUGUCUGCAUCACGGGGCACACACAAUACUUGCCAGGGCAGGUUAAACUUGCGUUACGAGGGCCUGGAAGCUGCUGCAGGUUAUUUUGUACCAAAUGUAUUUAUUUAAUGUAUACGUAUAUUUGUAUAUUUACACUUGGUUUGGGGGUCAGUGUAGCAUGGGCUAUAUUUUGGGAUAAGAUGUAGAGCCUGUCUGUCGUUCAAAAUGCUGUUUAUGAUGUUUGUUUUAGUGAUAGAUAGACAGACAUAUAAAUAGACAGACAGACAGACAACUAGACGGACUGAUAAAUGGAUGGAUAGGUAGAUAUAGAUAGACAGACAGACAGAUAAAUCGAUGGAUAGAUAGACAGAUGGAUUAUUAGAUAUUCAUUGACAGGCUGAUGGAUAAAUAAAUGGACAGACAGAUGGAUAGAUACAGGGACAGAUAGAUAGAUAGAUAUAAUUAGCCAUUUCAUCCAUUACCCAGGGCUGUUCUCACUGUGGUAACUAACUCUGAGAGGUAAAAUCAUUAUUAGUACCCCUAGAUUAAAACAUUCUCUCCUGACAUGAACUGCUCCCAGGCAAUCCACCAGUUCUCUGUAUAUAGACAUGAUGAACAAAUGUUGAUUUUACUGUCCGAAAAUACAGCUUUAUCUCAUGGUAUGGCAGAGUUUCUUCAUAGUAAUUCCAUAGAACUCCCUGUACGCAGGCGAUAUGGACACAGUGUCACACUACUGAUAAACCUUUUCAAUCCAAAAUUAGAUCCAUUUUCACUUGUGUUUUAACUACUGGAGUCAAGAGUUCUAAACACAAGCAAACCUGUUACUUUUGGACAUCUGUACAGAUCUAUUCAAAAAGUAAAACAAUGACUGUGGGGUUUGUGCAAUAAACAGAGAAUUGUGGGGACUUCAAAAAUGAUUUGUAAAAAGAAGUCAAGCCGGGAUAACAGCUGGAUUGCAUAAUGUUUCCAGGACAGCUAUCUGGACCUAAAAUUAACCAUUUGGAUUUUAUUAUAAUACUAGUUAUUCACUAACACGUUAAGGUUAAUCCAUACACAGUGAGUUGACACCUGCGCUCUUUACAAAAUAACCCCCAAAUAAUGUUUUAAGCAGAUCAUUGUUUAUAUCGGCUUUGAGUUAAAUAAGAAGACAUGUUUCAGUGUGUGCACCACUUCAGAGUGGUUCCAUUAAAUAUUGGGUGUGAAUACACUAUAUUGCUGGUACUGUAUUUAACCAUAACCUGGCCUUAUCACAAAGCACAACCAACCAUCCCACAUGUAUCAAUGCUCUUUUAUGUAAGUUAAGUUCCAGGCCCCAUAGCUACCCGUAGCUUCAAUUUCCAUGUCCGUUUAGAGGGCACUCUGGGCAAUAUCCUUCAAUAUUCCAAGAGUUUUAUUGUCCCUUGAUUAAUUGAAUUGUAUUUUUCUGAGAUAUAUUAUCUAUUCCAUGAAGUGGCUGAAUGUUCUGAGAAGUGGCUAAAAUCAUUCAAGCGUGAGUGUUGUGAGAGUCUUUGAGACAUUAAUGAUAAUCAAAAUAUGUGUUUUUGUGUCCGUGGCGUCGUGCCCAGCUCUGAUUCAUUGUGUAGACCCUCUUUGAAGCCAUAAAAAUAGACUUGUCAUUUUUAUUUUGCAUGUUUUUAUAUUCCGAAUGUGACUGCAUGUUGUUUCACUUAUUGGUUUUUUCUUCAUUAUUUUUCCAAUUUCAUAGCUAUUACAUCAUUUGUGUGGUGUAAAUGUGGGGGUUACUUAAAAACAUGGGCUUUAUUUCCCAGUAGCACAGACCAUUAUUUUAUUGAUGUGAGAUCACGCUGAGGUCAGCUUCUCUCAGGUUAUUUGUAGAAAUAAUGUUAUAAGGAAUUUCAUUAUAUAUAAAUAGCAUAAAAUAAGAGAAUAUCAAUAUAUUGCUAUACAAAUAUACACAUAUACAUGUAUACAAUACACACACAUAUGUAUUUAUAUGUAUGCACACUUAUACAUACAUCCACCAAUACAUAUACCUAAAUAUGUACAAAUGUGCUCACACAUAUAUAAACCCGUAUAUAUGCAUAUUCACACAUAAGUAUACACACAUUCGCAUACAUAUACACAAACACACACAUAUAUUUUUACACACAUAUGCACAUAGAAAUGCAUACCCAUAUAUAUACACCUACAUGCAUUUGAAUGUGAGAAGGCAUGUGUCUGUACAUAGUACUUUAUAUAUCGCUAUAAUAAACAUGGCAUUAGAUUGCAUCUUCACAUGUGGAUACAUAUGACAGAACAGUGAGAUAAUGAUUGGGGGGGCGUUCAUGUAAAAUGUUGGUAGUGAGACAGGGAACCCAAAUUAACAUUUAGUCUUGGUAUUUCUAAAUUCCCUCUCAGUACUUCGAUUUGUGGGUCCUCCAUUGAGUGGCCAAGCUGGGUAAAGUGGUGUCCCACAGGAGUGCAGUACGAUUCUUCUUUGUGGUGUUUAAUGGAGUGUCUGUGCAUAUUCAUUGUGGGAUUUAAAUGCUGGGUGGUUUCCCCAAUGUAGCAUCCUAGGUGGCAUUGGGUGCAUUGAAUCAUGUAUACCACAUUGCUGGAUGUGCAGGUCCCUAAAUGACUCUGAUUUGUGCUGUGUUGAGUAUGAGGAUCCUUUAAUGCUGUAGGUUUCAUUGUUGUGGGUGGCUGUGUUGUCUGUGUAUAUGCGUCGGCACAGUUUGCAGCCAGGUUUUAUCACUGUCUGUUCUUUUUUGCUUUUUUUUUUUUCCCACUAGCUUCCUGUUGAUUAAUUUUUGCAGAAGAUUUGGUGGUUGUCUAAAAGUCAAAAUGGGGGAUUCAGAGAAAAUGUUUUUCAGAGUUUCAUCUUCUGCUAGCAUUAGUUUAGAUUACCUUUAAUCAUUUUCCAUAUUUCUUUGAGAGCUGGGUUUUAGGUGACCACAAGUGGUACGCGUACAACCCAGCUCUCAAAGAAAUAUGGAAAAUUAUUAAAGAUAAUUAUUACAUUAUCACAUUAUUUUGUUUAGCUCCAUGUUUUUGUUUCUAUUAUAAUUUUUAUACAAUAAAUAAGCAACUACGAGGAUUAUCCCUGUUCAUUUCAUUGGAUAUUCUCAGUAUCGCAAUAGAUUCCUCAUUUUUCAUUCUCUUGAUCUAUUCUCCAGGUUCCCAAGUUUUGUGGAUGUCACGUUGGAAUUGGGUAGUCGAGCCUAGAAGCAUAAUGAGAGGAUGCACCGAGACACGGUCCCUUCCAAGCCCUCUCUUCUGGCUUUCAGCCAAACUGGAAGGUUACUAGGAGGUUACCCUGUCUGACGUUCUCUGAAAUACCCAUCGCUUGCUACGAGGGCUGCCAGCAAUCUUGUAAGUGUAACACUAAUCUCAUUAAUAUGACCUCCCGAUAUAUACGUACACCUGUUACAUUAGCUGUUUGUACAGUCCCUGUUUCCUAUUUUAAACACUUUGAGUAGCAGUCUACAUUCCUCUCUGUCUACAGUUGGUCUCACUGUGUUUUCUAUAGCACAUUAUAUGUGAAUCCAUCCAGGGAACUUGGCAAGGGCUGCAUAAACUAGCCCCCUACCAGAUGUCCGACUCUACGAAGACUGGUUUGAACUUUGCACUUACCAGCUCAGGUUUGGAAAAGAUCUUUAUAAAUGUCCCAUUUUAUGUGCUAUUAAAAAUCAGAGUUUUGAGAAGUAGGUAUUGCAAGCCCUGAAUUUGAACGUUUAUUCUCUGUAAAUUUCUUACCUGGAUGAGUUUAAUUAUUUUUCUUUUUUUUACCUUUGCCAGUUUUACUAACUCUCCCUAACCUUCCCCUGAGAAUAUUGUAUAUGCUUAUAUACUUUUUAUAGUUAAAAUACUGUUAGUACACUGAACGAGCAAUUGUUCUGCUAAUUAUCUCCACUUCUUUUAGAUUGUAAGCUCUUUUGAUCCCAGCUCUUGACACCUCUUCUCAAACUUGUUUUGUCUCAAUUACAUGUAUGUGUGUUGACCCAGCCUACAUUGCUGUGGUGUAUGUUUGUGCUACAAAUAAUAAUGACAAUAAUAAUUUUCCAAUGUUACAUUAAAGCCCAUAUGGGAGUUGGGUUUAUUAUUUUUAUAGUCCAGCAUGUGUUUAUGUAACAGGACGCUAAUCUGUGUCUGUACUGGUUUACAGAGUGUGCCGUGCAGAUCCCAAGCACUUUGUUCAGUGAAACCGACUUUAAAUCUCCAACAGGUGCCCAUCGCAUAGCUCGGCUAUAGACAUGCUAAUUGGUGCAACUGUAAGAGAUACCACCAAACCCGUCUCAGGUUCACCUGUUAAUACAGCUAUUUAGAAUUUCAUGCUAAUCUUCAAGCCAUGAGUUAUUUGACUUGUUUGACACACUGUGUGACUGUUUUAUGAACUGUGUGCCCUCGAUCCCAGCUUGCCGUAUAGCACUGAAACUAGGACCGAAUCAGAGCAGGUUUCUUUUAUCUUGGAUUUAGAACCCAAUAACGGAGGGUUCCUAACCUCCACCCCGCUGGCACGUUACUUUGGUCUGCUGUUUGACUCUGACCUGUCCUUCACUUCUUACAUAAAUUCUGUCACCAAAUCCUGUCAAUUUUACCUUAAAAAUAGUUCUUGCACUUGCCCCUUUCUCACUAAGGAUGCAACUAAGACACUCGUCCAUGCUCUCAUUAUUUCUCACAUGGAUUAUUUAAACCCUCUGCUUGUUGGACUGAAGAAUACCCGGAUUGCAUCUGUACAGUGUAAUGAACAUCUCUGCUAGGCCCAUUAAUCUUACCUCCAGUAACUCUCUAUCUUCAUCUGUCUGUCAGUCUCUUUACUGGCUUCCUGUUUUAUUUAAGAUUCUGUUCAAAGUUCUCGUACUUGCUUACAAAGCUCUCCAUAACCAUGCACCUGCUUACAUGUCCUCCCUUAUUAGCAGAUAUACUCCAGCUUGGCCUCUUUGCACCGCCGACGAACUGUUAUUUUCCGUUUUUCGAAACCCGCACACCAGCCUUUCGCCUGCAGGACUUCUCCAGAGCUGCCCCUUCCUUUUGUAUUGCCCUCCCAUGGGACAACCGACUCUCACCGUCUCCCUGUCUUUAAAAAUCCCUAAAAACACACUUCUUUAGAGUAGCCUAUCAUCCCACCUCUUAACUCCUCAUCCCUUACAACCUUCCUCUGCUGCCUCCCAUGUACUGUGCCCUUUCCUCCCAAGCACCUCUCCAAUCAAGCCUCCCAACAAUCCCGAUUUUGUCAGGACAGUCCUGAUCUGCCGUACUGACUUUGUUCCCUGGUGUCCAUCUUUUUGAAAGCACAAUAAACAGGCUUACUCUCCACAUUUAGGGCACUAGGUCCCUGCAGAGAGCACAGAAACAGUGCUCUCUGCAUGACCGUCCCUCAGUUGGCCAGCCUGCUUGAUUGGCAGGCCGCCUGCCGUGCAUUCACUCCAGUCUCACCUGCCCUUUCUGGGUAGGUCCGCUCCCUCUAUGUGGAGCGAGUGACAUGAUAUCUUUGUAUUUGUCCCUCAUCCUUUUAGAUUGUAAGCUAGUUUGGACAGGGCCAUCUCCACCUACUGGACCCAUAUGUUUUGCUAGAUUACCGGUAUCUUGUUUUACCUAUUGUAUUGCACUGUUGAAUGUGUUUGCCCUAAAUAAAUAAUUGUAAUUGGUAUCAGAGGGAAAACAUAAUCUGUUCUCCCAAUGGUCAGAUUUUAUGAAAAAGAAGACACAUUUUUGGGAAAAGGUGGUGAAAAUAUUAUUAUUGUGUUCUUCAAUGGUCAGUCUAAAUUUUGUAGUAUGUUCGCUAUACCAUGGGACUGAUUCUCUAAACAUCGAAUUGUAGCAACUUGAAAACAGAACUCAACAUUUAAGAAAAAAUUGUGGACUUCAAAAUCUUCAACAACUCUACUUUAGUCAGAGCUGAAGUGAUUUUAUAUUUUGGGUUUCUAUUUUUAGUUCAGUAUAGUUCAUUGUUUAGUGACUAAGCUACAAAGAGCUGUGGUUGUGGUGCCAACUGAUUUGCAAGAACCCAAUUAGCCGGGUUGGUGAAUUUUUCCUUCUUCAUUAUUAUGGGUAAGACUCCCUUCCUACCUCAUUAUGAAGCCUACAAUCUCUGUUCGUUAAAAUUACAUGGACUUCAGACAUGUCAUAACUUUAAAUAUUUUACGCACUCGUGUUAACAGCAAGGCGUCGUGUCAGCGAUUAUUGAGAAGUGUAGCGUACAGUUUAAUCAGAACAUUUUUAUGAAGACUUUGACUGAAUAUGAUGGUCUGAACUAUUUUCUUAAUUUACGAAAAAACUUAUUUUUUUCAAAAAAGUGUCAAUUGGACUGAGUGUCCCUUUAAUAACUGCAGACUUCUCGCCAUUUGUAAAGCUACCUUCAGUGAUACAGAGUAAAAAGAGUUCUUAAUAAAUUAAUAAAAUCUGCUCAAGGCUUUAUUCCCCUGCGAAUUGUGAUUUGACUUCCACAAUUAUCCAUACUGGAAAAACAACUAAAUUGGAGAAGUGUUUUUAGCUUUUAGGCUGAAUUUUGAAGUUAAAUUCUUUAGUCACUGUUUAGUGAAUAGGACCCUACAUGACUCUAGUUUGUGCUGUGGUGAGUAUGAGUGAUAAGUAAAAUCUAUUGACACCUAUGGCUCUCGCUAACAGUGUCAGUGCUAUUAAUUUGGUUUGGUUAUAGUAGCAGGGCAUGGAAUUCUGGGAGCGUGGGUUUAAUUCCUCUUGUGGUUUCCUGACCUCUGACCCAGAAGUAUCUCCUGGGCCCGUUUAAAGUGAGCGUACUAUUUAAACUGUCAGUGCGUGCUGUCUGCGUCCUCGUGUUUGAUUCGGAAGGUCUGGGGAUUUUUGGUGACAUGUCUUAGGGCCGCAGGGAGAGUCUAGUCUUUCCAACCUAAGGUAGGUCUCUGGCCGGCUGUCUGUUUAUAAAUAACCGACAUGUUAACUUACAACAUGCACCUUUUAACCCUGUCACAGCCAAUACAACACGUCACCAUGUUUCUCUGGCUUCAAAUGGAAAAUUCUAAAGUAGAUCUGUUAAUUUGCUGUUACCUACACUUGUCAACAUUGCAAUUAAAGCAGCGUUGCCCCAUGUUGGGUUUAAAUCCCCUCCUGUUCCUAACGUCACAUGCCAUCUUGUACGUUAGUGCCAAGAGAAAGGAGGACGUGAUCUUGUCUGUCAGUGCCUUCAUCUUCCAGUACAGCAAUGUCUUCAGUCCCUGGAGGAGGCACGUUGCUGCUAUACUUAUGUUUGUGCAUCCAGAAUGGACGCCUGUAGAAGAUUCCACAAGACGGCAGAUCUUCCGAUGAUCAACAUGUGCGCAGUGAGAGGCCAAACACAUGUAUUUCACAACACAUGAGAAUAAAUAACUUUUUAUAUCGUGACUUGCGAGAUGUGGCAGACAGACAUUGUUUAAAGCAUUGGGUUUAGGCAGCAGUGUGUGCAGAGAUAGAAUGUGGGGGAGUGGUUUCGGACAGCGGUGUGUGCAGUGAUAGAAUGUGGGGGAGUGGUUUCAGACAGCGGUGUGUGCAGUGAUAGAAUGUGGGGGAGUGGUUUCAGACAGCGGUGUGCAGUGAUAGAAUGUGGGGGAGUAGUUUCAGACAGCAGUGUGUGCAGCGAUAGAAUGUGGGGGGAGUGGUUUCAGACAGCAGUGUGUGCAGUGAUAGAAUGUGGGGUGGAUGUUUCAGACAGCAGUGAUAGAAUGUGGGGGAGUGGUUUCAGACAGCGGUGUGUGCAGUGAUAGAAAGUGGGGGAGUGGUUUCAGACAGCGGUGUGUGCAGUGAUAGAAUGUGGGGGAGUGGUUUCAGACAGCGGUGUGUGCAGUGAUAGAAUGUGGGGGAGUGGUUCGAACGGCGGUGUGUGCAGUGAUAGAAUGUGGGGAGUGGUUUCAGACAGCUGUAUUAUUGCAGUAUUAGAAUGUGAAGUGGUUUCAGACAGUGGUGUGUGCAGUAUUGAUAGAAUGUAGAGGUAGUUUCAGACAGCGGUGUGUGCAGUGAUAGGAAUGUGGGGGUGGUUUCAGACAGCGGUGUGUGCAGUGAUAGAAUGUGGGGGAGUGGUUUCAGACAGCAGUGUGUGCAGUGAUAGAAUGUGGGGUGGAUGUUUCAGACAGCAGUGAUAGAAAGUGGGGAAGUGGUUUCAGACAGCUGUGUGUGCAGCGAUAGAAUGUGGGGGGAGUGGUUUCAGACAGCAGUGUGUGCAGUGAUAGAAAUGCAGAAGUGGUUUCGGAGCAGCAGUAUUGCAGUGAUAGGAAUGUGGGAGUGAACGAACAGCUGUGUACAGCGAUAGAAUGUAGGGGAUAGUGGUUUCAGACAGCAGUGUAUUGCAGUGAUAGAAUGUGGGGGAGUGGUUUCACACAGCAGUGUGUGCAGUGAUAGAAUGUGGGGGAGUGGUUUCAGACAGCGGUGUGUGCAGUGAUAGAAUGUGGGGGAGUGGUUUCACACAGCAGUGUGUGCAGUGAUAGAAUGUGGGGGAGUGGUUUCAGACAGCAGUGAUAGAAUGUGGGGGAGUGGUUAUGUGGGGGAGUGGUUUCAGACAGCGGUGUGUGCAGUGAUAGAAAGUGGGGGAGUGGUUUCAGACAGCGGUGUGUGCAGUGAUAGAAUGUGGGGGAGUGGUUUCAGACAGCAGUGUGUGCAGUGAUAGAAUGUGGGGGAGUAGUUUCAGACAGCAGUGUGUGCAGCGAUAGAAUGUGGGGGGAGUGGUUUCAGACAGCAGUGUGUGCAGUGAUAGAAUGUGGGGUGGAUGUUUCAGACAGCAGUGAUAGAAUGUGGGGGAGUGGUUUCAGACAGCGGUGUGUGCAGUGAUAGAAAGUGGGGGAGUGGUUUCAGACAGCGGUGUGUGCAGUGAUAGAAUGUGGGGGAGUGGUUUCAGACAGCAGUGUGUGCAGUGAUAGAAUGUGGGGUGGAUGUUUCAGACAGCAGUGAUAGAAAGUGGGGAAGUGGUUUCAGACAGCUGUGUGUGCAGCGAUAGAAUGUGGGGGGAGUGGUUUCAGACAGCAGUGUGUGCAGUGAUAGAAUGUGGGGGAGUGGUUUCAGACAGCGGUGUGUGCAGUGAUAGAAUGUGGGGGGUGGUUUCAGACAGCAGUGUGUGCAGUGAUAGAAUGUGGGGGGGGGGUUGUUUAGACAGCUCUGUGCUGGUUUACAGAAACAGAUUUUAGAAUGUGAUUAGAGUAUUUUAACAACCUUUUCUCUGAGUUGUAGUGCUGUGAAAUCGAUGGCUGGCAGGGGAUUAGGGGGAUGUAGUCCAACAUGUUUGGGUAAAGGGGAGAGGUGCGCAGUGUGGGAAUUGGCACCAGGUUCUACAGGGACAAGCUGCAGGGGACAGUGUGACGGGGCGAAUAAUAAAAUAGCCACCAGCCUCGAUAUUGCUGAAUCAGCCGCCACAUUGGUUUUCCAGAUCUGUGUGCAGCUGUUUGACCUACUGAGACAAGCUGUUCUUUAAUCUGCCGCCGGUGGGGGAAGAUCCAGUCACUAAGAAAUCAUUGUGGUUUGGUCACCAAGUCCUAACACUAGACCAGCUCUCGAUUGGAAUUCCAAAAUAUUACCCUUUGAUGAUCAAGUAGCUUUUGUCUGGAGAUACAGAGGCCGCAGCUGUCCCAGGCAGCACUCUCAAAAUCUCCCUGAAAAUAGUUUGAGGGUCAAGAAGUCGUUCUGUAGAGAACAUAUUGGGGAUAGGGGUUAAAUCUCACAUAUUUUACCCGAUUUCAAAGCUGCAAAUAUAAUUUAUUAAGCAAUUCUAUUUUGUACAUUAGUUUAAUAUUUUUAGAAACCUUAUUUUGCGAAGUUAAGUAGCAAAAAGAAAAAAAAAUGUCUUGAUUAAAAUGUAUCAUAGUUGACAAAUGAAGGAUAAGACAGGUUAUUGCAGAUUUUCCCAUAUAAGGAUAGUGACCUUGAUUUAAUAUAUUUGGAAAAGCUCUUCAAAUGAACUAAUAUUUUGAAAAAUAUUUUAAUGUUUUGCUAUAUUGAUAUAUUUUUUUGAUAUUUUAAUAUUAAAAAAAAGUUUUAAAAGUUUAUCCAAAAAUUUGAAAAAGUAUAAAAAAAAUAUUAAACUGAAGCCAGUAUUUGCAAACGCAACCCUGUCUCUACACAGCAAUAUCAAAGUACAUUAUAAACAAAAUUAAAAUCUCAAUGAUUUUCUUACUUUCCUACUACAUUUCCAAGCUGAGAUAUAUUGCCAACAUAUUCUCCAGCGUUUUACAUUCGGAUAUAUUUUACAGAAAGUAAAUGACAGACAAAAUGUUUUUAACAGAUACAAGAAAUUAAGAGAGCCUUGCUCAAAGGAGCUAACUAUCUAGGAGAUUAACAGGUGCAAUUCUCCAGAAUGUUGCAUGCAAUUAAUCCAGGAAGCGGCUAUUAUUGCAGCCAAUCCCAUUCCCUGGUGUCCGGUUGUGGGUAUACGCCCACAAACAUUUAUUUGAAUGGUAGCCCUAAUUUAUUCCUACUAGGAUAUAAUGACGAUAGACCCUCUAACUCAAGUGGAUCAUGCGGGCAGCCCUCUUUUAUUCUCUGUGGCCUACAUCUGGUAACACUAGCGAAAGUCCAUAAAAUCACCUUUACGAGGUUACUUCUCACUGUGUGUCUCCAUAUUGCCUUCUUGCUUCCAUACCUCCAAUGUUGGUUGGAUCUCGCUUUAAGAAAGUGGACAAAGUGAACGUGGUUGGAGGAAAAAGAAAACCGUUUGGUACCGUGACAUAUUAAAUGAAACAUACAUUCUGUCCACAGUGCGCUUGACAUGUUACGUAGUAAUCUAGGUUGAAAAAUGUCUCCGCCAUCAAGCCUUCUCCACAUCUGUUAAUGCUUUUCUUCCAAAAGAAAGCUAAAACCUCCAAUAUGUAAUGAUUAUUUAUCCUUGUAACAAAAACGUAGAACAGCAGAAAUAUAGUCGAUAAAAGAAACCGCCGUCCGCCUAAGCAGCGAAGCCCUCCUGUACACUUCCUCGGCAGCUGACACUUUGCAGGUAGCUGAUGUGGUGAGUUCCAGCGUCUCUAAGCUGUGACCUUGUGGACGGCUACACAAUCCCUUGUAAAACAGUCUCUCUGAUCUUGCUCGCUAAUCCAUCAUCCCUUUAAUAGUGUUACCAAUUGAUCAGGAAUGCAGAUCUAUGUGGUAUACCACACACGUGGCACCCAUCCUCAAACUGUCACUGGAAUUGGAGAGAGAAAGGAAAAGCAAACCGCGGAAUGUUUUCUGUCUUUUAACCACUUCACUGGCCGUCUGUAGGAUUUAUUGGGAUUUAAACGGCCAAUCUGUACAUAGGUCACAUGGUCCUGUGACAUCCUAAACUAGCUAAUUGUUGUUAUUAUUAUUUAUAUAGUGCCAGUAAAUUCCGUAGCGCUGCUCAAUGGGAUCCGGGGAGGUGUUUCAACUGGGUCUGUUGCUCACCGAUGUGCGAAAUAUUAUAAAUCAACUUUAAUCCAUACAUUAAUUUAUAUAACGAUAGUAAUUUGCGUUUUGGAUGGAACUUUUCAUUGGUUGUAUUCCGUGCUUUUAUUUUGUAAGCUAGCAAUGGAAUAAUUCUGAUGGUUUUUACACUGGGUUGGGAAACAGAUUGUAAUAUUGCUCACCCUCGGUGAUAAUUGUUAUAUGGUCUUUACAAAGGGAGAGAUGAUAGGUUAACAGACCCAAAACACGGAGCUUCUAGCAAACAAGAUGAUGAAUUGGCCUCUAGACUUACCGCACAAUGAAGUCACUAGAUGUGUGAAUAUAUAUUUCUUUGAGGAUGGAAUUUUACUUUUAACCCAUUCAUGACAGAUAAUGUGCCAGGGUCUCAGCCCCCGUGAAGAGGUUAAUGCAUCUGAACCUGGUCCUCUUCACUUUAGGUAUCUGUCAUCAUUAUGUCUGUAAAAUCGCUAGCUGAUUGCUCGCUGCGUCAUUGUAAAAUGCCGUUCGAUACGCCAGCGCUGUAUAAAAUGUUAAUAAUAAUUUCAUUCUAUGGAAAGCCACCGUGCCAUUUCUAGGUAGUCUAUAUAGUGUCGUGUUUAUAUUCACCAAAUGGUUCUAGAAAAGGUCAGUAUGGCGAAUUCUUUCUAAUCCAGCUUUGAAAAUAUCGCUGACUGUAACAGUAACUGUACCCUAAGUAUCUGACCCUUUACCCUAAAAACCUGAUAAUCUGACCCUUCACCCUGAGAAUCCGGCCAUGUACCCUGAAACCCAGCGAAUCGGACCAUUCACUCUGAGAAUCUGGCCAUUUAUCCUAAAACCCUGAGAAGUUGACCCUUUGCCCUCAGAAUCUUUCAUCAAAAUACUUUCUAUAUUAAAGACCGACUGUGCGUUUUUAUAAUGGUUCUGCAAACUUUGAUUAUUUUUGGUUAGAUGUUUAACCUUUUCUGUAUCAGAAAUAGUUGCAGUUACUGGCUUGUGUUCUGAGAAUUAUGGGAAUUGUAGUUCAGCAACAGCUGAUGUGCCCUCUUCUGCAUCCUCUCCCCCCUUACCCUUGUUUCUCUCUAUGUCUCACCCUCUCUCCCUUCUAUCCUCAAGCCCCUCAUUACUCCCUACUGUCCUCCACCCCCUUACCCUUAUGUCUUCCUUCGGCCCUCCAGCCUUUUUUACCCUCACCUCUCACCCUCUCCAGUUAGUGCCGUUACAAGUCGUGUCUAUAUUUGCUGCUGUCAGCUACCUCUUGUCCUAGUGUCUCUCGCUGUCUCUUUCCCUCUCUUACUUAUCUUUCCCUCCUCCCCUCCACUCCUACUGACCCUUGUCUCUCCUUAUCCUGCCCUUCACCGCCCCACCUCCCCCCACCCGUGUCUUCCUCUUGUGCACUCCACUCCAUCUUAACCCUUAACUCAUCUGCCUGCUCUCCACCUAACUUACCCUUGGCUAUAACUCUUUAAUUCCUACCUUCCACUCACUUUUACCCUAGUCUCUUCAUCUAGCCGUCCACUCCGUUUCUUACCCUCAUGUCUCCCUGUCCACAUUAUACCGUCCCCCCUACCCUUAUAUCUCCCUGUUCACAAAAUACCCUCCCCCUUACCAUCAUACCUCCCUGUCCACAUAAUACCCUCCCCUCCUUACCCUUAUAUCUCCCUGUCUACAUUACCCUCCUCCCCUUACCCUCAUAUCUCCUUGUCCACAUUAUACCCUCCCCCCUUAUUCUCAAAUCUUCCUGUCCAUAUAAUACCCUCCCCCCUUACCCUCAUAUCUUCCUGUCCACAUUAUACCCUCCCCCUUACCCUCAUAUCUCCCUGUCCACAAAAUAUCCUCCCCCAUUACCCACAUAUCUCCACAUAAUGCCAUAUCCCCCUUACCCUGUGCACAUAAUACCCUCCCCCUCUCCUACCCUCAUAUCUCCCUGUGCACAUAAUACCCUCCCCCUCUCCUACCUUCAUAUCUCCCUGUCCACAUAAUACCCCCUCUCCCUAAUGCCCCCAGUCCUCUUACCCUCAUCUGUAGCUGUUCACAUGAUACCCUCCCCCUCCAGUUAUCGUUAUCUCUCCGCAUCCCACUCCUGCCAUUCCUUCCCCUAUUAUUUCACACCCUGUCUGUUACCCUAGUUUGUCGUCCUCUUGCCCUCCACCCUCUCUUACCCCGUCUCUCCCUCUCUCCACCUUCUUAUCUCCCUGACAUUUCUUCUUCCUGCCCCCCUUCCACUGACUCUCAGAGGGGUGUGCCUGGCCACAAAAUGUGCUGUGCCUCUCGAGGCCAUGCUUUAUAGCCGAUUGGCUAAUCUGAAGAAAGGGUGUGGCCAUCUCCCCCAUGACAUCAGCGUCGGCACACAGACAGGGAGCUCUUAUAUUGGAUUGUGUCAAUGUAUGUAUGUAUAUAUGUAUGUAUAUAAAAUCCUUCCCAGAAUAUACUCAGAUUAUAGAAUGUAGGUAGCCACGUUUUAUAUUGACUUGCCAAAGGAAAUACUGCCCGCCUCUGCAUACAAAGAGUUGUAAAGAGUUAAAUGCGUCUGCUCUUUGCUGACGGCUGCUUUGACUACUCCGUAGCGCCUUGCAUUUACAUGAUGGUGUUUUGACUGACCCCUAGUGGUCAUAUAUGGGAAGUACACUACUAUUUUAGACAAGUAUAUGAUCUAUUAAGCAGUAUGUGCAGUAAAUCAACAGUGACCCCCUUCUCCUGGCUGGAAGUGUAGUAUCUGAAAAAGCUGUAUGUAAUAUAUAUGAUAACUCUGAAGUGUUUGCCAACAGUUACCAUCUAUUCAUAAUUCAGUCAGUCAAUGAAAAAGUUAUGUAAGGUGAGAAUUAUGGAUUGAAGUUCAGUGGUGUGAGAUGGAUCUUAGUAAAGACCCGGAUCAGGUCUCUAAACCCAAAAUUAUCAGUGCUCUAUGCAACCUUCCUUGUUGCCCCAGGUGAAUGUUGCCCAGCGGCAUGGUUCUUGCUAGUAUUUAGCCUGUUAUAAAGUCAGAGUCUGGUUAAGGAUGGUGGAUGCUGUAAAUUAUCAGUAAAUUAAGUGUGGUAGAUUGUCUACUCCCCAUAGGGGAACAAAAGGUUCCACUAUCCAUUCAUGAUGUCUGUCAUUGACAUUGUUUGGUGGAAUGGGCAGAGUAAUUCCGUGCUUGUUUGGAUCAUACUCAUUGUUUCGAACUUUCCCUACAAUUGACCAGUCAACAAACUUGACAGAUCCAUGGUGUGAAUCACUUUUCUCAUUCUGAGUUUGUAUUAUUUUAAUAAUUAUUUUUCUUUACUGUUCAGCUGAGAUAGUGGUGAUUGGAUAUGCAGCAAAGAUCCAAUGUUAUCUUCUCUCCUGUAUGAGUAAGAGCUGUGUUUUCAUAAACGGGUACCAUCGAAACGCUGACCGCAGUUAUUUUGCCUUUUUUUGCGUAAGGGGAGUUAUUUUAAUCUAGGACAAAACGAAGCCAGUAAAAGACACAAUUACUCGAUCAGUUGUAAGGGUUAUACAGUUUAACCUUAAUACACAUUCAAAGGGCUGAAAACAACCGGGUAGACGGGGUGGUAUUACUCCACAUCCAGCCACCAUACCUCGUUUUUAAAAGGUAACAAACAAAUCUUAGAUAAUUGUAAUUUUAAUGGAAAAUAGAUUUUUACAAAAAAUUUUGUGACAAUUUUUAUUAUUUUUCAGUCUUUCAAAAACAACAGGGAACAGGGCACAGAAGGGAAAAGGGGAGAGAGGGAGGGGGGAAGUAAAUAUUGUCAAAAUGACAAUGGUAAUGACAAAUACCAUUAAGCCAGUGAUCACAUAUUUCCAGAGCAUACAUUGACAGUUGGACCACGGUGAUACAUUUACAACACGACUUUAGCAUCAUAGUUGUUACAGAUUCCCCUAUUUGGGGUGCACCAAUCUCCAUGCGUCCCAAGUUGUUAAGGCUACCCUUGAGGGUGGGCAGAUAUUAUUAAAACAUUGUUCGUAUAUCCUCUGGUUAUCUGGCUCAGAUUGUAUGGUCGACACAGAGGGAGUACGCUGGGAUUUCCAAGCUCGUGCUGUUAGAGCAAUAUAGUAUAUAAUUUUUUGUGCGUGUUUAGGCACUUCAGAUGGUAGGUGCAGUAGAAGGUACGUGAGUGGGUUAUGGGGCAGCGUAAUUUCUUGUAUAAGAACUUGUGUAGAGUCCCAGAAGGGCUGGAUCAGUUACAUCUCCAGCAAGUCGAAGACCUGAUGAGGAAUCAUUUAUGGAUUCUCUCAGGCACCAUAUACCAUCGGUAUACCAUUUUCCGCUGUGGCUUCAAUAGGGUAGCGGAUUUGAUCUUAGGGGUAUCAAAUAUUUUGUCCCACUUCUUCUGCAUGAUUUCGCAUGCCAAGUCACUAGACCAGUGCCUUGCGGGUGCAGCUUUUGAGAAUGGUAGCUAUUCCAACAGCAGCCUGUAGCACAUGGAGAUUCUUUUACAUGAUUAUUGACAUUUUAAUCGCAACUAUCCUAUCUAUCCAUGUCAGAAAGAGCAAGCCCCAUCUUGCCAGGAUUAGUUUGCAGUCAUUCCAAACCCUAAUAUAGUUUCCCAUAUAAAGAUCUUUGGCUUUCCAAAUAUUUUACACUAUCUCUUCUCCAUUCGAAGGUGUAAGUCCUUCGCAGGCUAUCCAUCACUGAGGAGGGGAGUCCUAGUCCUAAAGCUUGCAGCUUUAUGGUAUUUAGAGAGUCGUACGAGUGUAGACCAUAUUCUCCUAUUAGCCUCUUAAGAGGAGAGAGAGACUCCAAGGGGUCAGAAAUAUAUAGUAGUAUAUCAUCCGUGAACUCGCUGAUUUUAUGUUCAGUGCCACUCAAUUUUAUACCAUGAAUGGACGUGUGUUCCCUGAUGGCACAGAGGAGGGGCUCUAGGGCGAGGACAUACAGAAGGGAGGACAGUGGGCAAUCCUGUCUUGUUAGUGAUGGUAAAGGGGCUGGAUAGGAAUCCCGCCUGCAUUACUUGAGCCGUCGGAUCAGAGUAUAAGGCAAAAGUUUGUUUAACUAGUUGUGGAGGGAACCCAUAGGUGUGCAGUGUCUUCCUCAGGAAGGGCCAGCCGAGGUGGUCAAAAGCUUUUUCUGCAUCUAACGCCUGUCAUCAAAUUGUUUUCAUAUCUUAAUAUCAUUUUUAUGUUGUAAUAUAUCAUCUCAUUAUUUUUUUAUUUCAUGUAAAUUGCCAUUUUUAUAGAAAUCCCUUGAGUAUGGAAUCUCUGCUGUCUGACCCAAUGGCCACUAUAUUGCAACCGUCCUUUUUUUCAAAUAUGUGUUUUCAGCGUUGCAGAAUUUCUGCCAAGCGAUUUUGAAAAGCAGCGGGCAAUACUCAAACAGUGAGCAUUGGUUCAGACAACUGACAAUCCAUGGUGCAUAAAGAUGUCUUCAGAAAGGGGGAGUGGCAAAGGUAGACAAGGGAUUUCAGUGAAAAUAAAAAAAUAAUAUACAAUGAAUUCAUUUGAAAAAGAAAAAAAUAGAUGGUAAUAUUAUAAGGUAAAGAUUAUAUUAACCUAUUAUUUUUUUUUUAAAUUUAAUGAUGGUACUUUUCUCUUAAACCAAACAUAUUUGCUAAAUUGAAGUUAAAAGACAACCUUUCUUUACAGAACAAGUAUGAAAUAGUGUCCCUUUAAAUAUUCAUGACACCGACAAUAAAGAUAUUGUUUUAUCACGCUUCUCUUUUAUGAGCAACAAACUAUCUCCCAUCUUCAGAUAUCUUUUCCACUUCCAUACUUCAUGGGUUGCCAGAGUUCCCCUGCAACAAAACCCUGUCUCUCAUAAUUCACAGCCAGCCUCUGCUCUCCUCGCUCGCUCGGGCAGGUUGCAAUGGACACACAGUCGCUGUACAUAUCUACUCCUCCCUCAUCCAUGAACACCUUUGUAUUCCCCGGGGUUAGUUGCCAAGCUGUGUCUUCAGGGAGUAUUUACUAGUGAGAAGCUUCGCUGUGUUGUGAAGAUGUAAUGCUCUUGCUGGGGACUGGCACAUUCUUUAUCCUCAGAGCAUCGAUGUCCUCCUCGUGUUCUGUGAGCCAGCUCCAACGUUGUAGAAUGUUACACAGUAGUGUGGAUUCAAUGGUAACGUUUGCUGAUACACUUUUUGGGUAAUUUUGACCGUUUAGCUGUUUUUUUUAAGUUUACUUUCCACAAAGAACCAAUGGUAAUUCAUUUCUGAGAAUGGUUUUCGUUUGUAAUUUUGCUAAUGUCGUCUGUUCUUUUUUUAUGUUUUAGGCUGUCCAAGAUGUUCGGCCCAGGAAGAUUCUGGUAAGGCCUUACAUGGAGAUAUGAAAAGAGAGCUUGUGUUAGGGAUGUUGGAGACUCUGGUAAAGUGAUAUAGGGGCUCGCGGAGUUCAAAGAUCCACAAGUUUGACAGAACCCGG